This 49568-nucleotide long non-coding RNA is filed under the name Gossypium barbadense (sea-island cotton). The record is from RNAcentral. Lineage: Eukaryota; Viridiplantae; Streptophyta; Magnoliopsida; Malvales; Malvaceae.
GGUGAAGAAGCGCCGAGGCUGGGAGUAGGGGCCUCAGUUGAUGGAGACGGUGGGCUGGAGGCCGAAGGUGAUAGCGCUGGAGACUUAGCUUUGGUCUUGCUAGGGGCCGGAGCUGGAACCGUGGCAGGAGGAGAAGCCAAAGGAGCUGGUGGUGGGGUAGCUGGAGGAGGAGUAGCAGGAGGGGGAGAAGCAGGUGGUGGGGUAGCCUGAGGUGGAGAAGCCGGUGGGGGAGUUGCGGGAGGUGGGGUAGCUGGGGGAGGAGUAGCCGGUGGAGGAGAAGCUGGUGGUGGGGAGCUAACGGGCGGGGGAGUCGCUGGAGGAGGAGUGGAAACUGGUGGUGGAGAAGCUGUCACUGGAGGUGGUGAUGAUGUAGGAGGAGGAGUGGAAGCUGGUGGCGGAGAAGUAGUUGUGGGUGUUGGAGGUGGUUGGGUAGUAGGCGGAGGUGUGGAAGCGGGUGGGGUCGGCGGCACCGGCGUGGAUGUCGGAGGAUUACUAGGAGUAGGAGGAGCUUGGCCUAAAGCGCCAGCUACAGCAAUGCAAAACAAAGCUGAUAAGAACAAAAACUUGUUAUUAAGCAUCAUGUUGGAAACAAUGGUGACCCUUUAAUCCUGCACACCCUCUCCGCUUAAACUACGCCCAGCCGCGCAAGCAAAAGAGGGAGAAGAAUAGCAAGUAUGAGAAAUGAAAAGAUGGUGAUAUUUAUAUAGAGGAUAUGGAAAUUUCUAUAUCAUAUUUCAAUUUUAAAUCCCAAAAACAAAUAAUUUAAUAACAUUUUUAUUUUAUUACUAAUGGGAAAAUUAUAUUACUAAUCCUAUGCAAUUUUCUAUUUUAAUUUAGUGUAAUUUAACUCUUUCGUUGUGUUAUUAAUAGGUUCAAAAUUGAUAUUCGAUCGUACAAGCAGAGAUGUAGAAAUGAAUCAAUUUUGUUAAAUAAGCAAUAAAUCUCAAUCUUAGUCAAAUGCUUAAAGCUGUUAUAAAAAAAAAUCACGUCACCAUUUUAACAUUAAUAAGUAUCAAAUUAUAUAGAAGUAAAGGAUUAAAUCUCUAAUUUCAAUUUAGUAAAGGGACUAAACUGGAAUUAAAGGGUUAGAGUUUUUUCCUCGUUUGGUGAGGUAAAAUAAAAACCCUAGUGGGGCAUCACUUUGAUGAUUAUAAAUGAUGCGUUAGUUAGUCAUACUUUAGGUAAAAAACUGUAGGUGAGAUUAGUGUAGAUUGAAAUAUUUUAGUGAAAGGUUAAUUUAUACCUUAAAAAUUUUGCAAUAUUUGGUAGUUCCAUGAAAUGAUUCCCACUAUCAUCAACUUUUCAAUCAUUCAAAUAGGUUUUAAUUUGUUUUGUUGUGAAAUUUUUAAGGAGUCAGGUCCGGUUGUUAUAAAAUUUUAGGUUUGAAUUUGACUUGAAAAAUAGGUUUAAAAUUUUACUUAAACCCAGUCUAGAUAAAAAUAUUAAACUCAAGUCUGGACGUAUUAAACUUUUUAUAUUAUUAUUUAUAUAAAAACAAAUUUAAAAAAUAUAAUACAUCAAAUACACUAAAAAUAUUAAAAUAGAUGUUUCCCAACAAAUUGAAAAUACAUUAAAAAAGUUUUUAUACUUAGCAAGCAAAUGCCUCUAAAAUAGUAGCAAAAUUAACAAUAAAAGAGUUAUAUAAUAUCCAAACAAUAACAGCAAAAUAGUAGUAAUAUAAUAGCAAAAUGGCAACAAAAUAACAGUAGAAAAAAAAAUUUAGGCAAAUUCGGGCUGAGCUGUGUCAAGCCCAGGUAAAAAAAGAUCUUACCCGAGGUCGGCCCUUUUAGAAAAUGAGCCUUAUUUUAUUGUCGAAACUCAUUUUCUAGACCUAUAUUUUUCCCAAAUCCUCCCACUUAUGGGGCGAUAUUUAGGGCUUGGGCAGGUGGCUCGGCGCAUGAUUAGGUCUAACGAUGGAUUCUUUUGUUAGUAAUGUUUAUUUUGGUGUUUGAGUUUUUUGUGUCUUAAUUUGGUACCUAAUUUUGGCUUUAAUUUUUUUUCCAAUUAAGCACUUAAGUUUGGCUUCAAUGUUCAAAUUGGUACCUAAUUUUUUUUUGUCCAAAUUAAUUACCUAUAUUUUGUUUACCAAAGCACGUGUGUCAAACAUUCAUUGGGUCAUAUGAUGACAUUUGGCUUAGGUAUCAAAUGAAUAUCAAAUCCGAACUUGAGUACCAAAUUGAAACAAAAAACACAAAUACCAACUAAGUAUUGAAGCUAAUCUCAAAUAUGGAAUGGUAUGUUAGCCCAUUUGUAAACAAAAUUUCAAGGAAGACUUAAAAUUUAGCAUCUACUAAGCUUUCAGUUUCCCUUUUGUAUGUUACAAUUGAUGUUUGUUUAACGCAUAAACUUGGUAUCUUUUUUCCCGUAAUGAUAUUUAAGCUUUUUUUUAUACUUGAUAUCCAAACUUUCAUUCUGUCACACCAUUUUGAGCAAUUUUUGUACAACUAUAUUAAAAUCUGUAGUUUGGUUAUCUUCAACAUUAAGGAUUUCUACGACAUACUUUUUGCGCAUUCCUCCCAUGACAUUAAGAAGUAGGGAGGCGAAAGUGGUGGUGCUAAAAGGAUCAGUUUAUCUAAUUAAGUGGAGAGUUGAAAAGGGAAAUAAAUUAGGAAGGAGUAGGGGACUCACACAUCCAUAACAUAUGCAUAUGUUAAGAUUAAAAAUUUACACAACCCAAUUGCAAAUGGUGAGACUUGGACUUGGAUACUCAAGGAUCCAAGAUCUCGCCUUAACCAACAAUGUUAAGAUCUCAUUGACUCUUUUGGAGUUUUUUCAAAUUCAGGAUUAAAAAUUAUGAUAUAACUCAAUAUAAUAUUAAAGAGUAAAAAUUAAUCAAAAUUUACAUAUAUCACUCAUUUAAUCAUGUGUACAGAUAAAAGGAAACCACUCGUCCUCUUGCCAACCCUACGUGUAACAUAAUUCACUAUAAAUUCCAUUUACCAACAUAUACAUACAUACAUAAAUAUAAAAGAGAACUUCAUUGGUCUUGGACUGGAUUGGCUACAAACUUUGACAAAAGGCAUGUGUAGGAGGAUUAAAUUCGAUGAAUUGCAUGAUAGUUUCUCCUUUUUGAUAAUUUAGUACAUGAGAGAAUAAUGAUGAUUGUGGGGGGGGGGUGCUCCAUCGAAAUAGCUGGAAUUUAUUUAUUUUAGUGAACUGGCAAAUGUAAUUUGUACGCCAAGUUAUAAGGUGAAAAAGGGAGAAAUCAUAUAGAUUUGGUUGGUAAUGGUAUGUUGAUGUUGAAGCACCUGCGGUGCAACGCCACAAUUAGUAGGCCCCUACCCCCGCUGUCACCCCAUCAUAUGUGCUUUUGGAUGGAUCCAACAUUUUCGUGUUCUUUCCUUCUUCAACAUCAUCAUUAUUAAUUAGUUACUCUUCAAUUUCUAUAUGUAAUUUGCUUUCUUUUCAUUCAUAGGUUUUCUGUUUUUCUUUCUUUGAUUUUGUCUUGUGCACAACUGACGUCCUCCAUUAUUUUUCCCCUGACGUCCUCCAUUAUUUUUCCCCUUUUGUAUAAUUGGGUUUGUGACUUCAAUAGUCUCCGUUUGUAUGGAAAUUAUUUUAUGGAUUUUUUCAUCAUAUCAUUUACGAUAUAUUUUUAGUUAUUUAAUGAUAUUUUAGUAAUUUUUUAUACCAUUGAUACAUAAAUUUGUUAAUUUUUUUACCCAGAACCUUUAAUCUCGAACUUAGAACCCCGAACUCCGAAUCUUGAACCUUGAACCCCAAACUUAAACCUUGAAUCUUGAAACCCUCAAGGUUCAGGUUUGAGGUUCGAGUUCGGGUUCAAAGUUUGUAGUUCAGGGUUUGAGGUUUGAAAUUUAAGGUCUGGGUUUAGGGUCAAGGUUCAAGGUUCAGGAUUUUGGGUUUGAGGUUCGAGAUAAAAAAAAUUAUCAAAAUUAUAUGUCAAUGAAAUGAAAAAAAUUACUGAAAUGUCAUUAAAUAAUAGGAAAGAGACCAUGGAUGAUGUGGUGGGAAUGGUCCAAAAAUAAUUUCUCAUUUGUAUGGGGUAUUGUUCCUUAUCUAUUAUAAUUUGGUAUCUCUAUUUUUAUAAUAUUAUUAGUAAAUCCAAAUUUAUAACGAUGUUGAUUGCUUCAAUAAAAUGAUAAGGUGGAUUUUUAUAGGAAGAAAGUUAUUUGAGUUUAUUCGAAGUUAUAAUUUAUAAUUGUAUUACCAAUUAUUAAAAAUAAAUAACUUAACUCAAACUAAGUCAUCAGAAUAAAUUUGAUUGUGGGAUUUGAAUUUGAGCGCUCCUUAGGCUUCAUUAGCUUAUUUGGGCUCUAUUUACUAAAAGAAAAUUAUCAACAAAAAAAUUCAUGACGAGCCAUUAAUAAUUUUAUUAAUUUGAACUAAUCAAGUCGCUGAUCGAUUUAUCGAGAUAACUUUAGAGAAGAGUUUAGUUAUAUAAGUGUAUGAAAGACAUCCUGAAAGAAUUAGCAGUUGUUAUUGAGAUUGAUAAAGGAGUAAUUUAUUCCAUUAUGAUAGAUUGAUAUAAUUUAAUUGUGUUUUUUUAUUUAUUUAUUUUAAAAAGAGUAGAAGGACGUAGUAAAGGAAUUUUCAUGCAUCAAUAAUUUAUAAUUUAAACUAUGAAAUUUCAAAAAAGAAGAAAUUCAUGUUGAAAUUGAUACUAUCAAGCAAUUUAGAAGUGUAAAAUUUUCAAUAUCAGCUGGAUAUUUAAUGUCAAAUAAACUAAAGAAAUGAGAAAGACAAGCCAAUUGUCCACAAUGAUUAACUUGUUCCUAAAAAGAAAGUUGUACAUUGACUUUGCUUAUAAAUCAAUCCAAUUUUUUUUAUAUAAAAGGAAACAAUUACAUACUUAUAUUGAGUUAUUUGUACCACAACCCAUUUAAUUAUUAUUUUAAUUAUCGAUUGAGUCUUAGUUCAGUUGGUAUUGACAUUAUUAUCGGUGUAGGAGGAAUGGGUUCAAGUGUGCUGAAACGCAUUAUCCUCCUAUUUAAAUGUUGGGAAGGGACUAUAUGAUCGAGAGUAGAUGUGAUAAGAACCUAUAAUAAGAUUAAUGUAAUGCCCCCUCGUUCCUUUAAAUGCUACUUGAAACAUACUUAAUUAUUAUUUACUAAAAUAUUGACAAAUCUGUAAUUUGAAUCUAGAUUCUUAUCAUAUCGGCUCUUUUUGGUACAAUGCUUACAACUAUCCAUAGCCCCUCCCCAAUCAUUAAAUAGGAGGAUAAUACACUUCAACGCAUUCGAAUCCACAUCCUCUUGUACUGACAACAAUGUUAAUCAAUACAAUUCUAAAUACGAGUGUACUACUUAGAUAAUCAUAUCCAAGGUACACAUAGUUUUAAAAUUUGAUCCACACAUUUAAAUAGACCCCACCUCUGAUCUUAUCUAGGAUUUAUCACCGAAGCUGACGGUUAGACAAACAAAACAACUUGAUUGAUAUAAUAUUGAUAUUUUACAGACUCAAUCGUAAUGUUUUAUAGUUCGAGAUGAACGUAGAAUCGUGGCCAUAAUUAUGGAGGUUUGGCUGAAUUGACUCUAUUUCUAAAUAUAUCAUGGUAGACAUUCAAUAUUAAAAAAAAGAUAAAGGGAUAAUAUAAUAACCCAAAACACCAAAUUUUGGUUGGUUUAAUUUGCAGCUUUAACCAAUGCUUUUGCUUGAUCCAUCAAUUAGUGAGGAUUUCGAUCUAAAUUAGAGGGUCCCAUUCGGUUAUUAAGCUCUUUUUCCCCCCUCGUGAUUGCCAUAACAUGGGCCCUUACCCUUUUAACUUUGCUUUGGUUUGGUUUGAUUUAAGGUUUAUUCAUAAAUUGUCCCUUAAACUAUACCUCAAUUUUUAGAUUGGUCCUUAAAGUUUUUUCUAUCAAGAGUGGUCCCCACACUAUCAAAUCUAUCUCAUUUUACCCAAAAAGCUUACGACAUCCAAUAAAAAUAUUUAAAAUGUGACACGUGUUACAUUCUUAUUGGUUAAUAUCAUUUUUUGGGUAAACUAAAAUAAAAUGAACAGUUUAAUGAUCACUUUUGAUCAAAUAAAAAAGUUUUAAGGACUACUCUAGGAAUUGAGAUAUAACUUAGGGGUUAUUUUGUUAAUAAAGCUUUGAUUUAAUUCAAUAGAGAAAUCAUUAACACUGAAAGAGUUUUCUUUAAUUUACUCAAAUGGUCUUUUUGUUUGUGUCACCUAACAUUUUGAAGAACAUCCUUUCUCUGUGUACCUCAUACAAUUCGUUAAUACGAAAAUUUUAUGAUUUUUUUAAAAUAAAUUUAAUUGUCACUUUGCAUGUUACAAAUACUUUUAAAUAAGGACUUUUUUCAUAUGAGAAUACCUUUAAUACCAAUUAAAAAACAUCUUAAACUUAAUUUAUCUAAUUUCUUGGGCAGGGACCUAGCCCAAAAUUGGUAAAAUUAAAAUUAGAUCUUUCUAAUUUUGAAGCACUAAAAUUGGAUUUCUUUUAAAUUGUAAAAUUAUAAAUUUAACCCUUAAAAAAAUUAUAAUUCAACUUUAGCCUCUAAUUUUUUUUCUCUAACUUACAUCUCCGCCUAAUUCAAUAUAUUUUAAAAAAAAAUUGACUACAAACAUCUAGACAUUACCAACAAAAAUAUAUUUAUAAUUAGUAUUUAAUAUAAAAUAUUUUAAUUCUAUAAGCAAUUUUCAAAAUUUUCAUAUAUCUCGAUUUUUCUAUAUAUAUUUUUUUAUUUUUAUUAAAUCAUGAAUGAAAUAUAUAUUAUCUUUCGGAUUCUACUUAUAAAAUCUAAUAACUACACUAAUAACGUAUUAAAUCAUUUUAUGUAUAUAUAUAUAUAAGUUCAAGUGGUCCAUAGGUAGCUUAGAGUACAAGGGAUUAAGUUGAGGGCCCUUAUCAUUUUCUCCAAAUGUGAAGUGAUGUUAACUGCUUAGCUUCCUCCUCUUGCCCCAUUCAUUUUCCUUCCUUUCCACAAUAUAUAUUGUAUAAAUAUUUAUGGGUAAUCGAUUGAGUCUUAACUCGAUUAGUAUGAGUAUUGUUGUCAAUACAGGAAGGCGUGUAUUCGGCACAUUAUCCUCCUAUUUAAGGGUUGGGAGGCUAGGAGUAGUUGUAGAUAUUAUAUUUAAAAAAAACAGAUAUGAUUAAAACCUAUAAUGAGAUUAUUAAAAAAAAUAUUUAUGGGUAAUCAGUUUAUACAAUUUCAAUUAGGCGUAUAAAUCCAAUCAUUAAUCAUUAAAAUGUUUUACUUUAUGCCAUAAUAUUGUUUUAACUGCAGAAGCAUGUGGGUUAAUGAAAACUACUUAUAGUAUCUCAAUUAAAUGUAAUCAACAACCUCAACUCAUAUCUUCCUUCUCUCUCUCACUCUCAAUUAUAUAACCUACUAAUAAUUAACUUUAAUAACCCACUUUCAAGUACAUCUCAGGCUACCUGCCAUACCAAGCCUAAAGCUCCUAAGAUUUUCUAAAAGGUUUGCACAAAAAUACAAAGAUUUAUAGGAUAAUGGAUUUGGGCAAAAAAUUAAGCUUAAUUAUUUAAAUUAUAGGUUGAAUUUAUCGAUAAGUCAUGUUAAACGUAAUGGUAAGAUACAUUUGUACUCUUAAGAAAAGAAUGUAGAUUCAAAUAUUAAAAACGAUAUUGUUAAAAAAAACAAUCACAAAUCUCAAACAUGAGUCAUAAAACAGACAUGUAAAAUACAUUUGGACUCAUUUAAGAUUAUUAAAACAUGGAUAAUUUAACUCAAUAUUGCAAUUUAGUGUUACAAUAUGAUUUCGUGAUAAAAUCAAUAAUGUUGAUUUGUAUUAUUGUAUUAAGUAGUGCAUGAAAUGUAGGAUUAGAUAAAUUUGUAUAAAGUGCAUGCUAAAAACUGUUUUGAAGGCUUUAUAGAAUUCUUUUCGCUUAAAAGAUAAGAGUCUACCUGAUCAGCUAAGGUUUACAAUAUUGCUUAUAGGUUUAGCUUUCAAUCGAAUUGAGUGAAAAUUUUUUGAGUUAAUCGAGUUAACGAGUCCUAUUUUAUCAUUCUAACACAAUUUGAAAUUUUCUCGAAGUCGAGUAAAAUGAAAUUCAAGUUAAGUCGAAUCGAGUGAAAUUGUUCGAGUUAAAUUAAAAAAUUAAACAUGUCAAAUUAAAAUCUUAUUACAGUAUAAUUAAUUUCAUGUUAGAGCACAUAAUAUUGAAACCAUAUAUAUUUGAAAACUUUUUCAAAGCAAGAUAAGGAAAAAAAAUACUUUAGUAUAAUAAACUUGAAUCAUUAAUUAACUUAUUUAAGUCCCCAAAAUUAUUAUUUUAGAACAUUUUUAAAUUUUUAACUUUCUUUAUAUAUUCUUUAUAAUUUUUUUUAAAAAUAUAAUUUUUGGAAUUUUUAUAAAUAUUUUGAAUUUUGAAAUUUAUUUUGAUUUUUUUGUAUUUUUUGUUGAAAAAGACCAAUUUGCUCAUUUUCAAAAUUGACAGGGAUCAAAAGGGUAUUUAUAUCAAUCUAUUACUCGAAUUAUUCGAGUUAUUCGAAUUGUAAAAUUCUACUCGACUUGAACUCAAAACUCGAAUUACUUAUUAAAUUUUACUCGAAAAAAUCAAAUAACUCGAUUCAAUUAACUCAUAAUUCAAUUUUUAUUUUAUUUUUUCAAAUCGAGUUUUGUUCACCCCUAAUAACUUAUUAGCAAGAAUUGUUCAAUUUUAAAAUACAAGCUAAUAAGAUUAUUUUAUCUUGAUAUUAAAUGCUAUUUAUACAACUUAUAAAAGAUGGUCGAUACACACAGAUGGGGUAGACUUUUUGAGUGUUUCAUUUUUUUGGUUCAUGGAACAUUUUGCAAGGUAUAUACACCUUGAUACCUUUGGUAUUAUUUGGAGAGUUUUAUUCAUUUGUAUGCAAAUAUGUUUGCGGUAUGUGAUAAUAUUUUGGGAGAGUGAGUGUAAAGAAUUGCAUACUAGUGAAACUACUUUUAUCUACAUUUUGCAAGAUGGAUACACCAUGAUUAGAGGUGUACAUGAGUCAGGUCGGGUCCAAUCAAAAUUUUAGACCCAUUUGUUAGGCUUGGGUCCAGAUAAAAAUAUUAAAAUUUAGGCUCGGUCCGGCCCGCCUGUAUUAAUUUUUUAUACAAAUUUAAAAAAUAUACAAUACAUCAAAAAUAUUAAAAAUAUUAAAAUAAAUGUUUCUCAACAAAUUGAAAAUAAAUUUUUAAAAAAUAUAUACUUAAAUAAAACUAAGAUAGGUGAAACUUAACAAGCAAAUGCCUCUAAAAUAGUAACAAAAUUAAUAAUAAAACAAUAGUUAUACAAUAUCCAAAUAAUAACAACAAAAUAGUAGCAAUAUAAUUGUGAAAUUGUAGCAAAAUAGUGAAAAACAACAAAAAAAAUAGCAACAAAAUAAUAAUAAAAAAACAGAAAAAAAACUGCAAUUUUUUUUUAUUUUGUAUAUUCGGGUCGGGUUGAGCCGGGCUCAAACCCAAAAAUCCUUACUCGAGGCUCAGCCCGUUUUAAAAUAAAUAUUGUUUAAUUAAUUAAUUAAAAAAUCAAUAGUGUUUAAAAAAUAUCACAAUGAAAUAUUAAAUUUUAUAAGAUUUCAUAAUUCUAAAAAAAUAAAAUAUGAAAAUGUUUAAAAAUUUUAUUAAUUUUUUUAAAAAAAUUAUACAAAAUUUUAAAAAAAUAAACAAAUACUACUAAAAGGUUUUAAAUCAAAAUUAAAUAUAAUGUAAUUAGAAAUUUAUUUUUAAAAUAUUUAUUUUAUUUUUUUAUAAAUACUAUUAAAUGUUUUUAACGGUAACAUAUUUUAAAAAGUAUAAUAAUUUUACAUAAAAAAAUUAUGUUUACUAAUUACAUUUUUUUUAUUUUUUUCCUAACAUAUCAUUAUCUGCAACUUGUCAUAUUAAAGAAUUGAAGAUUUAUUUGAGUAGUUAACUUUUUUACAAAAAGAACUAAUUAAUUUAUUAUUUUUAUAAAUUGUUACACCCCAUACCCGGUCUAGAUGUUAUGGCCGGAUCUUGAGGAAUUACAGAAGUUCAUUUUAAAACUAGAUUUUUAAUUUGAAAUCGUAUAAUAGAAUAAUGUUAACUUUGUAAAAUCGCUUUCUGAUUUUAAGGGAAAUACUCAUUUAAACUAUUUCUUUUAUUGCAGAAAAACACUUCAGUGAUCACUUCAUUUUGCAGCGGAAAUUUUCUAAGUUAUAAAAUAUUGAAAACUGUGGCUUGGUUUGUAAAACAAAUAAUUUUGCAGUUUAAAAAUAUAACAGUUGCAAAAUCCGUUAAAGCAAAUCAAAACAGAAAAUAAAGUCCCAGAAUAAUUUACAGUCCAAAAAAUUCAUAAUAAUUACAUUAACCAUUUUAAUUUAGAGAAUCUAACCCAAGCUCCCACACGUCGUCCAAUAUUAGGUUUCCUAAUCACCUGAGAUGAUAAAAGUAAAGGGUGAGCUAACAAGUUUCAUGUGUAACUCAAUCCAUACAAACAACACAGAUACAGUAACCGAUACGAAUAUAGAUGCAACUACAGAUACUAAUACUGGUUCUAUUUCCAUUCGCUACACACCAUCUUCAUCCAUCCCUACACACGAUUAGGGUAUUAAAUAUCCAUCCAACCCACACACCUAUAAGUGAGCAUAUGUCAUUUUUCAAAAUAGUGCAAUCAAGCUACCAGAAAUAAUGCGGUAAUCCACCAGAAUUAGAUAAGUGUGGUAAAGCCACCAGAAUAGAUAUGUGGUUUAAACUACCAAAUAAGGCAAAUCAUUAAAUUGUCAACACUUCCUCCAUCAUAUCAUUAUCCCACCCCAAUGCACAUGCAAACACUAAUUAGAUAAUAGAUACAUAUAAAUUGCACUAACAAAAGUAAAAUAUUAGAUUUCAUAUCUAUAAGUCAUACAUAACACAUUACGGAACCUAAGAAAUGGCAAACCUCGAAUCGUACUUCAAAUACGGCCCUAACUAAAUUUUACAAAAAAUGGGCUCACACGCCUGUGUGGCCCACAUGAUCUGGCACACGGCCUCACACAUGCUCAUGUGGCCCACGGCCCACUUAACUUAGCCCGUGUGGCUUAUACAGUUUGGCACACGGUAGUGUGGCGUCGACAGUGAAUUUUUUGGCUUCGAGAUUAUCGUUACACACCUAGUCGUUUUUCGAUACUAACACCACUACAAGGAUUCUAGAACCUAAAACAACAUUUAACACGAACAAUUUAGAAACUAUACACUAAAUAUAAGCCACUAAUUCAGCCACAACCACUAACAUUAGGCUUUAACAAGCCAAAAAUUAGUCUUUCGGACAUUUGGUUACUUACCCAGAACAAUAGCGACAGUCCUAAAAAUCUCCUAAUUCACUGAAAAGACGUCACACGCCUCACAAACUUCUCCUAUUGAAACAUAACAUGUCAUACGGAAACGAAUUAACCUUACUACUGAAGAACACACUUACGAGACUUGCACUUGAACAAAAAUACGAAUUCCUUGCUCGAACAUAGCACCACGAUGAUUACACGUCAGAAAAUCAAUACCAAAAUGAUUUAAACACAGGACCUCUAAGUAAGCUGAAGUCUUACCACUGAACCAACAAGCUCAUUUUUAUCAUUAAUUGAGCAAAAAUAAUAUAUAAGCUUAAUAUCCAAAUCAAGGGUUGGGUCAAAAAUUUUUUUAAAAAAAUUAAACAAAAGAAUUUGAAGGCCAUUUUACCAAAAUAGUCCAAAAAAAUAUUAUAUUUACAAAAAUAACUCAGGUUUAAAAACAAUCACCAAAAUAACCUAAAAUGAACAGUACCCACUCGUUUUUUGCACCCAUGAUUGCCUAAUAAUUGUGUCAGAAUUAAAAAAAUUAAUUUUUUUGGGUUUUGGCCUGUCAACGGCCGGAACCCAUGUAUUUUUUUAAAUUGUAUAAUAUUGAUAUACGAAAAAAGGAAAAAAAGAAAAACGAAAAAAAAAAUUUUGGGUGCUGGCCUAUCAAUGACCAGCACCCAGUACAUAUUUUUUAAAAAAAAUUCUUUUUUUUCGCAUCAGAAUCAGAUAACAGAUAUCAGAUAUCAGUACAAUUUAAAAAAGAAUUCUUUUUUUUGUGUCAAAAUCAGAUAUCAAUAUACGAAAAAAAUUAAAAAACAAAUUUUUUUGGGUGUCGGCCAUUGAAUAGCCGGCACCUAGUACAAAUUUAAAAAAAAAAAUCUUUUUUUUUUCGUGUCAAAAUCAGAUAUCAAUAUACGAAAAAAAUUUAAAAAAAAAUUUAGGUGCAGGCCUGUCAAUGGCCGGCACCCAGUACAAUUUAAAAAAAUUUCUUUUUUUUUUCGUGUCAGAAUCAGAUAUUAGUAUACGAAAAAAGUAAAAAAAAAAUUUGAGUGUUGGCUAGUCAAUGGCACGAAAAAAAAUUUGAUAUUUGAUUCUGACACAAAAAAAAAAGAAAUUUUUUUUUAAAAAUUGUACUGGGUGUCGGCCAUUGACAGGCUAACACCCAAAAAAAAAAUUUAAUUUUUUUUUGUAUAUUGAUAUCUGAUUUUACCACGAAAAAAAAAAGAAAUUUUUUUUUUAAAAUUGUACUGGGUGCUGGCCAUUGACAGGCCAGCAUUCAAUUUUUUUUUUUUGUAUACUGAUAUCUGAUUCUGACACGAAAAAAAAGAAAAAAAUAAUUUUAAUUGUACUGGGUGCCGACCAUUGAGAGGCCAACACCCAAAAUUUUUUUUUAAUUUUAUUCGUAUAUUGAUAUCUGAUUUUGACAUGAAAAAAAAAUUUAAAAUUGUACUGGGUGCCGGCCAUUGAAAGGCCAGCAUCCAAUUUUUUUUUAAAUUUUUUUCGUAUAUUGAUAUCUGAAUCUGAUUUUGACACGAAAAAAAAAUUAAAAAAUUAUACUGGGUGCCGGCUAUUGACAUGCCAACACCCAAAUUUUUUUUUAUUUUUUCGUACACUGAUAUCUGAUUCUGAAACAAAAAAAAUUUUAAAAUUUGUACUGGGUGCCGGCCAUUGAUAGGCCAACACCCAAAAAUUAUUUUUUUUCGUUUUUCGUAUAUUGAUAUCUGAUUCUGACACGAAAAAUAUAAUUUUUUUUUGUACAUUCCGGCACCCAAAAUUUUUUUUUCCUUUUUCGUAUAUCAGUAUUAUAAAAUUUAAAAAAAUACAUGGGUUCCGGCCAUUGACAGGUCAAAACCCAAAAAAUUAAUUUUUUUAAGCCUGACACAAUUAUUAAGCAAUCAUGGGUGCAAAAAACGAGUUGGUACUGUUUAUUUUAGGUUAUUUUGGUGAUUGUUUUUAAAUCUGGGUUAUUUUUAUAAAUAUAAUAUUUUUUUAGACUAUUUUGGUAAAAUAGCCGAAUUUGAACCUAGAACCUCAUACACACUAACACAACACAUAGCCACUAAACUAGAUUAAUCACUUUGAUAAUUUUUAACAAUUCAAAAAUAAAAAUUUUGGGGCGUUACAAUAAUAAUAUGGUUUAAAUUAUUUUUUACAUCAUUCAUAAAAAUUAUAACAAACUUACAAAAAGAUUUAAUGAUAUUUAAUUAUUAACGGGUAAAAAAAUUAUAUCAUAUAUCAUAUAUAUUCUAUAUUUAUUAUAAUAGUUUCAUCUUUCAAAUUUUCUUCCUCAUAAUUAAAGCAUAAGUUAUAUUUAUAAUAUUAUAAAAUAUUAUAUUUAAAAAAUUUACACACACAAUCAACCUAUGCAUAGCACGAGAUAAGAAAACUAGUUUAUCAAUAUGAACGAGUUUACAUAAACUUUAAUAUACAAAAUUCGAGCUAAAUCUAGCUUCAAUUUUUUGGUCAACUUCUUUUGACUUUAAAUCUUACUUCUUCUUCUUCUUUUGGCAUAACGACUUAUUUGGCACAAAAACAAAAGUCAUUUUAGCUUUUUAUGUAUUUUUUCACCAUUUUUAACCUUUAAACUUACAUUUUUUGUCAAAUCGCUCCAAAAUGAAUCGGUAUGUUAAUGUUUUUUAACUUUGCUAAUGUUGCAUACAUAUGGAUUGCUAUGUGGAUGACACAUCAACAUUUAAUUAAUUUUAAAAAAUAUAAAAAAACUAUUUUUAAAAAUUAAAAUCAUUAAAAUUAUCAAAUAAAUAUAAAUAUUUUUAAAAAUUAAUUAAAUGUUGAUGUGUCAUCUACGUGGCUAUCCAUACGUAUGUCAUGUCAGUAAAGUUAACAAAUAUUAAUAUUUUCAUCCAUUUUGGAAUAAUUUGACAAAGAAAUAGAAGUUCAAAAACUAAAAAAGAAAAAAUUAAAUAUAAGACCAAAAUAUAUAUUUUUAAAUUGAAGGACCAAAUAAAUGAUUAUGUAAAGUUGUGAAUAUUAAUCUUACCAUAACAAUCAUAAUUCGCUUAUGCUUUAUUCAUUUUUAGGGUUUUCCUUACUAGGAGUCUAGGAUACUUGAAGGCAGAUAUUAUUAUUAUAAAUAUUAUUAUAUAUUAAAUUAAUUUUUAUGUUUAAUAAUUAAAUUUAAACAUAUUUUUUUAAUUAAGGAACAAUAAUUUGGUCCGGAUGCGUCCUUGGACAGUUUUGUAAUUUCCCAAGUUAUUAACUUUUGUUUAGGGUUUAUCAUAGUUAGGAAUUAAUUGGCCUAAUUUCUCAACUUAGAUUUGAUGAUACGAUUAAAAAAUAGGAAAUAUCAAAAUCUGAUAAUAUGAAUUAUUUGUUGACACCUUUUUUUUGAUAAAACGGGGUCGACUUGGAUUUUGAAAACGAAAACGAAAAUGGGAGUCGCCACCAAUCCUUUUUGAUGAGGUGUAAUCGGAUCACCUUGAAAAGUGGUUGUUUUUAAUAAACGAUUUGAUUUUGUUAAAACAACAAUUUUGGUCCACGAAAUUCAGAAAAUCAGGUUCGGGAGUCGAUUACGUACGAGGAAGGAUUAGCACCCUCGUAACGCCCAAAAUUGGUACCUAGUUGAUUAAUUAGUGUCAUAGUGUCGAGAAUUGGAAACUUUGAAGAGAUUCAAAAUACGAUCCUUGAUUUUAAAAAACUUAUAUAAAAUAAGUUACUCGUUAAGACCCUCUCAUUUCGGAAAGAGAAAAUGUCACACCCAAUGAGUUAGGGCAUAAUAUUUCACUUCCUCAAAAAUGAGCUUAUCCAAAAAAAAAACUCGUGCAAUAAAAUUUAAAAGGAUAUUCAAUUGUUUAAGUCAGAUGAGGAAAUCGCAGCCCAAUACGUUAGGGCACAAUUUCUCAAAAUUCUAAACAUUGAAUAUUACCUUUAUUAUUUUUAGGAAAAUCCUCAUCUCGAGAAAACAACGUGUCAUAUCCAAUGCGUUAGGACACAACGUAUUGAAUUCCCGGUAAUGAGCUUUUUAUUCAUGUGUUUUUUUUAUUAAAGAGCAUUCUCGACUAUUUAGAUUAAACGAAAGAAAUUGGAACCCAAUACGUUAGGGCUCAAUCCUCUCGAAGAUCCCAAAUACCGAGUAUUGCCUUUAUUUUCAAAAUUUCCUCUUUUUACAAAUUCGGGUAAAAAUUGAUGUAAUAUUAAAUUUGAUAUAUGAAUAACAGCCGCAUUAAUAAAUGACAAUAAUGAAUAUGACGAUGUAGCAUAAAUAAUACAAGCAAUAGUAACGAAAAUAAAUUAGAUAAAAAUGAGAAAUCGAUGACAUACAAAAUAACAAGUAUAUAAGCAAAUAAAAUUAAAACAUUCUUUUAAAAUAACAAUGAAAAUGUAAAUAAAUAAGUAAAUAAAGAAAAUGAAUAAAAUUAUAAAAAAAUUUAAAAAGAUAUAUAUGUAUGUAUAUUAAAAUAUAUGUAUAUGUAUUUACAAAAUAUAAAAAAAUGUAUAAGUACAUAUAUAUAGGUAAAGUAUGAAAAUAUGUGUAUAUAUGUACAUAAAUUAAAAUGCGUAUAUAUAUAGGUAUAUAUAUAUAUAAAUGAAAUAUGUAAGACUAUACUUAUAAUGAUUUAAAAAUGUACAUAUAUAUAUUAUAGGGACUGUAUGUAUACAUAUGUAGGGAUUAUAAAAUGUAUAUGCCUAUAUAUAUAUUAGAAAUAUGCAUGCCUAUAUAUAUAUAACAAGAUUUUGGAAUAAAAAAAAAAGGUGUAACCGAAUAAAUAAUAAUAAUAAGUAAUAAUAUAAUAAUAUUAAUAGUAUUAAAUAAUUACUUUUAAUAGAAAAAUAACUAAAAUAGCAUAUUGAGGAUUAAAUUGAAAAUAAACGGAGUUUUAGGGCUGGAUUUAAAAAUGGAAAACACAAAGGGGACCGAUUUAUAACACACGCGAAGUCCAGAGGAUUGAUUUGGAAAAUAUCCCAAGCCCUACGCGUAGCGUUUUGAUGCGGACUGAAAUGAAACAUAAGAGAAAUUAUGCAGCCGAAUUAAAAAAACAAAAUGGGACCAAAUUGCACUAGGCUGCGAAAGAGGACGGACCUCUAGCGAAAUAUCCCCCUUCACUGCAGAAACACGAGGAUCCUGAGGGCGGACGGGUCGAGUCACGGGUCAGGGCCAAAACGACGUUGUUUUGGCACCUGAUCCCUAGUUGCAAAACGGGGCCAUUUUAUUUAGGGUAUUUAAGUAAAAAAAAUUGAAAAAUCAAUACAGCCACCAUUUAAAAAAAAUUCAAAACCCCUCCCCUUUUAUCUCAAGAUCCGGCUCUCAGUCCCCUCGGCCUCCGUCGCCCCGCCUUUCUGCUCGCCGCACCGCCACCGUAUUCGACGACCGACGAAGCGCAAGAACGGGCGUUCGAAGCCUUGCCCCGGUGAGUUUCCCCUUUCCUUCUUUUUUUUUAUUUACCAUAUAUAAAAAGAAUUAAAAAUAGAAUAAAAAAUAGGGAUACACUAUCAAAAUAUGGAUCUUGUUCCAAAAUCAAACAAUCACCUUGAGAUUGUUGUGUUUCUUUUUAUUCUUUGUGUCUUUUUGAUUUUCUGAAAUGUUCAAAAGAAAAGAAAAAAAAAACCCUUACAAUCGGUUUUAGAUUGCUUUUAUAGUCAUUUACAACACUUUUUUUUAUCUAUUUUUCUAAUGUUUCUCUUGCGUGCAUGUUCUUCUUUGUAGGGAGUGGUUGGCGCGACAGGGAGGAGCGGUGGUGGUAGCUGAGGCUAGGGAUAGGGUGAGGUGGCUUCUGAAACCCUAGUUUGACUAUUGGGUCAGUGGGUUUUGGGUUGUAAUGGGCUAGUAUUUUGGGUUUAAGUUUGGGUUUCAAUUGGGCUAGGGUGUUUUGGGUUAAAUUUCUUGGACUGUUAAUUUUUUAAUUUGUUUGGGUUUUAUUUGUCUGGGCCCGGGUAAAAAUGGGCUUGUACAUUCUUAAUACUAGUUUUUUUUAUAUGAGUAAAUAGAUAAUUACUUGAACCAAUUUAAUAAAAAUUAAUAUAUUAAAAAAUAUAAUGUCAUCAUUUUAAUAGUUUAUAUCUUUAUAAAUUUUAAAUGAUUAAAUUAAAUUUUUAUUAUUUGAGAGGUUAAAGUACACUUUUACUAUUACUAAUUUAAAAUUUUAUAAAUUAUAAAGGAGACUAAAUAAAAAAAAAUCCAUUUUAGGGAGGCCGGAAAACCUUGCCAGCCUCCCUGACUUCACCAUUAAAAUCUAGAAUAUGCUCCUCACUAUGCGUCGGAAAAUUAAAGAUUUAAAAUUAUAUUAUCGUGUAAUAGAUAUAAUGAUUUUAAUUUUUUAAAUAAAUAAAUAAAGUUAAAGUUAAAAUCAAAUCAAUGUGAUCAAUUGUACUAAAUAUAGAUGAUUUAAGACAUGAUGCAAAUAAAGCAUAGUAAAAUAAUUAAUAUAUAGCAUGCCAUGAUAACAAAUGCGAAUUUAGAGAGGCAGACAAGGGUUCUUUUACUAUUUAGGUUUUUAAGUUUUUUUAAAAUUUUAAAUUAGUAAAUGUAAAAUUGUACUUUGCCCCUUCAAGUUAUAAAAAUUUGAUUUAAUCUUUUAAAAAUCUGGCUUCGCCCCUGCAUGAUAAUAAUAUUAAUACAACACAAAUACACAAAAAAAUCAAAUUUUAUACAUAAUAAUUAUUUACUUGUAUAAUUUUGUAAUAUUUUGAAUACAAAGAAAUAACACAAACAAUUUUCUCUAAAUUGAAUCACUCAAAUAAAAUAUUUUAAAUAUCUCAUAAUUUUAAAAUGUAGUAUAAGGAUAAUUUUAAAAAAUAAUUUAUUAUGAUAAAUUAUAUAAAUUAAAUAAAGAAACAAUACUAACCCAAUAUAAAAGAAAUGUAAUAAUAAUAUCAUAAACAAUUUUUAGUUAAUUAAACAUUGGAUAGCUUCGCUGGAUCAUGUCCUGGCUUCCUCAUGUAUAAGAAAAAGCCUCACAUUGAGGGGCCAGUAGACGUUUGGCCUUCAAACGAUUGACUAAUUUUUGUCUUUUAAUUAGAAUUUGGCACGUUGAUGAUGGGAGGAAAGAAAGGAAAGCGUGAAAUAGAUUUCAUCGUGGUCUGGGUCAUUCGUCCAGAUUCGAAGGUCUACUUAAAAAGUGAGAAAGUUUAAGUAAAAAUAUAGGCUCGAAAAAUAGAUUUCGGCAAAAAAUAAUACUCGUUUUCUAAACGGGUCAAGCCUCGGAUAAGAUCUUUUGAUCUGGCCUGGCCUGAAUUUGCCUAAAAAAAUUUUCACUACUGUUUAGUGUUGGUUUGUUGUUGUUUGCAGCCAUUUUGAUGUUGUUUUGUUAUCAUAUUGCUACUAUAUUACUACUAUUUUGUUGUUAUUGUUUGGAUAUUAUAUAUCUCUUGUUUUAUUAUUAAUUUUGCUACUAUUUUAGAGGCAUUUGCUUGUUAAAUUGCACUAUCUUAGUGUUAUUUAAGUAUAAAGACUUUUUUUAAUGUAUUUUCAAUUUAUUGGGAAACGUUUAUUUUAAUGUUUUUAGUGUAUUUGAUGUAUUAUAUUUUGGGUAGACUACCAAAAUAGUCACUUUUGUUUACCUCGGGUUACAUUUUAGUCACUUAUGUUUGAAAUGUUAGGUUUUAGUCACUUACAUUAUCGUUUUGUUACGAAAUGGUUGUUACUCUAUCAUUAAGAUUUGUUACUAGUUCGUGAUAGAAUGUGCAAGUGUACACAGUCGUUAUCAAGUAAUAAGUAAGUAAAAAGAGUUAUUGUCUCCACAGGGACUGUGUUUAAAUUGAUAAUUGUAAAAUUACUAUUCACAAGUUGGUUAAAAAAACACAAUAUUUUCAAGGUGAUUGAUGUUAGAAUUAAAUUAAUGCAAAUGAAUUAACCUAAAUGCAAUGCAAUGAAAUAAGAUGCAAUGAGAUGGUUUAGCAACAAUUUCAUAAGUUUUAACAAAAAUAACACGAAUGAGCUAGAACAACUACAACACUUGACUCAAUUAGUAUGAUGAUAAUCAGUAUGUUUUUUUCACCUUCAUGUUGGAAAUUCGUCAUGCGUAAUUAUACACGUAGACCUUUAAAUUCAAUAAUGUGUGAUUGUCAUGUGUGGUUGUCAUGUGUGGAUUUUAAUUUACACUAUAGCAAAACAGGUUUUUAGCGGCGUUUAUAGCGGCGUUUGAACGAAAAGCGCCGCAAAAAAUCGAGCAUUAGUGGCAAAUUCUAACAAAUGCCACAAUAUGUAAGCAAUAGCGGUGCUUUUACUAAAACGCCGCAAAUGAUCAAGCAUUAGGGGUGCUUAUAGAAAAACGCCGCAAAAAACUUGGGAAAAACAACGCCGUUUGCUUUUUCCAUUAGCGGCGAUAAUUAACAAACGCCGUAAAAAAUCUAGAAUUAGCGACACUCUUUUACAAACGCCGCAAAAGAUCGAGAAUUAGUGGCGUAUUCUGUAAAACGCCGCUAAAGGUCAAACAUUAGCGGCGCUUUACGAAAAACGCCGUAAAAAAUUUGAGAAAACGACAUCGUUUUGUAUUUUGAGAUUUAAUGGUAUUAGCGGCGCAUUUUAACAAAUACCACAACAGAUCGAGAAUUAGCAACGGUUUUUAUGAAACGCCGCUAAAAAUGAGCAAAACGAUUUCGUUUUUUUGUUUAGCAUUAGCGGUGUUUUUUAAGAAACGCUGCAAAAAAUAGUUUUAUUUUACACUUUUUGGUUUAGGGUUUAUGGUUUUAAGGUUUAAAGUUUAAGGUUUAGGGUUAGUAUUUAAGGUUUAGGGCUUAGGGUUUAUGGUAUAAUGUUUAUUAUUUUCGGAUUAGAAUUUUGAGUUUUGCGUUUAUGGUUUAGAGUUUGUGGUUUGGAGUUUAAGGUUUAGGGUUUAGUAUUUAAGAUUCUUUUUUAAUUACUUUUGUCCCCUAUAAUAUCUAUAUUUAGGGUUUAGGGUGUAUGAUCAUGGUUUAGGGUUUAAGGUUUAUGGUUUAAGAUUUUAAGGUUUAGAGUUUAGUUAAUACGGGAGAGGUUUAUGGUUUUGGAUUUAAGGUUUAGGGUAAUUUAAGAAUUAUGGUUUAGGUGUUUAGGGUAUAGGGAUUAGGGUUUAAAUUUUAUGGUCUAGGGGUUUUAGGAUUUAGGGGUUUUUGGGUGUUUAGGAUCUUGGGUUUAGGGUUUUUUGUCUAAUUAUGAAUUUCAUCCUUCUAUCUUAUAAAAAAAAAGUUAAGCUUUUUUCUUUAAUUCAUUAGAAUUUAAUCUUUGUACUUUAAAAAAAACUAAUUUUAAAAUAAUUAAUAGAAUUAUUAAAAUUUUAAGAUACCCAAAUUAAAUUAUUUUUUAAUAGUAGAGGAAGAAUUGUCUUCCAUCAUUGUAUUCAAUUUUAAAAUUGAACAAUUAAAUAAUGUCAUAUUAAAAAUUUUAAAAAUUUAACAAUUAAAAAUAAUGUCAUAUAUAUUAGUGUAUCAAAUUUUAAUUUUAUAAAAUCGUUAAAUAUUUUUCAAAUAUUUAACGGUCGUGGCGUUUGGACCAAAAACGCACUACACCAAAACAGACUUUUAGCGGCGCUUUUUUAGGCCUUUAGUGGCGCUUUUUAGCACCGUCGCUAGACCAAGACCAUUAGCGGCGCUUCUUUCACAAACACCGUUAAAGACCAUGACCUUUAGCGGUGCUUUUCCCACAAACGCCGCUAAAGACCAAGACCAUUAGCAGCGCUUCUCGCAAAAAUGCCGCUAAAAACAUAACCUUUAAAAAAUUUAUUUUAAUCAAAUUAUAUUUAUUUUUAUGAUAAAUAUUAUAUUUUGUUUUAUUUUAUUUUCUAAAUUUGAACUUUAAAUAUACUUUUAAGGAUAAAUAAAAAAUAUUAUUUAAAUUAAAUUUUCUAUGAAAAUUUUAACUUUAAAACUAAAUAUAAAAAUUAAUGAAUUUAGUUUUAGAAUUUAAAAUAAUAAAUUAAUAACACAAUUAAAAUCCAAAAGUUAGAACUCUUAAGGAAAAAUAAAAAUUUAGAAUCAAAACUAAAAUAAAUAAUACAUAUGCAAGGUAAUAAAACAUACAAUGCAUUUUCUUAAUCAAGUAAAUCUUGGUAAUAAAAUAUAUAAUACAUUUAUUUAAUCAAGGAUCUCUUGUAAUGAACUCAAAGCAAUGAGCGUGAAACUGAAAGCAGCAGAAUCGUAAUGAACUCAAAGCAAUGAGCAUCAGAAUUGAGAAGAAAAAAAGAAUCACGAUACGCAAACGAGAUCCAGAACUUCUGUUCCUUUGGACGCCCACACUGGAUAGUCCCCGCUUCAACGCCAUUGGCUAUCAGAGCCUAAUAACAACAAUAGCAGCAGCAAAAUCACUCAUCAAAAGGUGGAAAAAGGAUAAUUACAAGUUAACAGUGAGGAGAUCGCAUGAAACUGAAAGCAGCAGAUCCGUAUCGAAGCUAGUUGGAAUGGAAAUCCAUGGGAAAGCAAGCAUAGAUUAAAACUUCAUAGAACUUUCUCUAAAAACUUCAUAGUAAACUGCUUCAGUCUACUUUUUAUUUUACUUGUACAACAAUUACAUGAUAUGCCAAAAUAAAAAAUAUGGGUCUGCGCCACAGAAUCCAUAAAAAACUUCAUAGAACUUUCUCUAAACUUUUACUUGCCAAUGUUGUCAACCUUUUUUCAGGAAUUUGGAGCAUGCAGAAACCAUAUAAUUUAGCUAUCCCAUUUUACAGUGAAAGCUAGGAACACACAAGAAACAGAUGAAAAAGGAUAAAUCUAAUACCCGUAAAGCAUCAGUAACUUGGCGUCCUUGUAGCCCAUCUUUUUGCAGAGACCAUCUAUUCUCAGCAUUUUUCUUCUUUGAAAAACCCGUAAAAUAUGGGUUUUGGUGUUAAAUAAUGCAACUGCCAUCAACAUCAAGGUCGAAAUCAUAGCUUAUUCUUCCAUGUUAAGAAAAGUAUGCUAAAAAAUGAGGGUUAGAAAAUAAAAUAAUGCCUGGUUUGAAACAUACACCAUUGAUGUAAGAAUAGGGUUAGAACUCUAUGAACAUUAAGCAAAAUAGCCAAUUUAAAUUCACUUAACAACAUUAAGAAAAAUGAUACAAAUGCAAAAAAGAAAAAAAUAAUAAAUAUAUACAAGACAAACAAAAGAAGAGAAGAUUAGUACUAAACCAAUGUUCCCUUACCGAGAAGACAUGAUUUCUAAUCAAUGAAUUAGUGCCACAAAAUAAACAAAAAGAUCAGCGGCACAGGCACAGAACUUGCGCAUUUUUUAACUGCAAUUAAAUCCAGUUCCAUUUUGCAUAUAUAAAAAGAAAAUAUAAGCUCAAUGUGCCAAAAAAACUAAUAAAAUUUGAGCUCAACUUAACAAAAAUCAAAGUGCAGCCAAACAAUGACUCUAGUUCUGACCUUAAUAAUGGCCAACUAACUAAAACUUCCUUCAUACCAAACAAAGACAGUAUAUCGAUAUUCUUCAUACCAAACAAAGACAGUAUAUCGAUAAGCUUAGUGCUAAAGGCCCGAGCAUUAGCGGCGCUUAGCAUUAGCGGCGCUUCUUCAAAAACGCCGCUAAAAGCCCCAAAAACUCAGAAAACGGUGUCGUUGGGCUUUGGCUUUUUGCAGCGCUUUUUAGAAAACGCCGCUAAUGCUUAUUUUUAGCGGUAUUUUCUGAAAAGCAUCGCUAAUGCUCUACCUUUAGCGGCGUUUUUAUAAAAGUGCCGCUAAUGCUUGAUUUUUAGUGACGUUUUUUGCCCAAACGCCGCUAAAAGCUUGUUUUUGUGUAGUGAUGCCACAACAAUGUCUUAAAAAUUAUACAAAACGGGGCCGUUUGGUUACAAGAAUUUAAUUUUUAGUGGUGUUUUUCUCCACAACGCCGCAAAAGGUAUGCAAUAGCGGCGUUUGUUAUAAAAAUGCCACAACAAUGUAUUAAAAAGUGCACAAAAACUGCGUCGUUUGCUAACAGGAUUUUAACUUUUUAGUGGCGUUUUUCUCAGAAUCACCGCAAAAGGUAAGCAUUAGCGGCGUUUUGUCUAAAAACGCCGCAACAAUGUAUUAAAAAUUGUUCAGAACGGUGCCAUUUCGUUUCAGAAAAUUAAAAAUUGCUCAGAACGUCGUCGUUUUCUUCCACAUAACAAUUUUCUUCCCCUUUCCCGCACCCAGCCCCUAAUUCCCCUUCCAAAUCCCUAAUUCCCCUUCGAAAUCUCUUCCAAAUCCCUAAUUCCACUCAUUCACAGAGACGAACCUGCAGAACUAGCAUUGGUUUUAUUUUUGUUUCUUCGAUUCUUCAUUUCGUUUUUUACUUAUUGGGAGCAUCUAUUUCGAUUUCUUCACAACAUUUAGACGAAGACAGAGUAAACGACAUUCUAUUUUUUGGGUAAGCUUGAACCAGUUUCAUUUCCUUUUUUUACGUGUUUAGGGUUUGGGUUAUUCUUGUUUGUGUGAAUUUUUUGUUUUUUUCAAAGUUAUUGACCCUGAAAUCCAGUUAAUUUGUCUUUGGUUUUAGGGUUUCCGAUCUGUAAAAACGUUCGCAUUUCACACUUUUACUCGUGGAAUUUGUUCUGAAGUGAUUUAAUUUCUUUUCAUCUUCCUAAAGGUAUUUUUUUCUUCUCUCUUAAUUCUAGUUUUAGCAAUUUAGUCUAUUUAGGGUUUAAACCAUUUACUGUUACAUUUUGACAAUAAAAUGCAUGCUUUCGAGUGCCUGAAUUUAUUUUGUAUUGAAAUAUAUUUUAAAAUAUAUCAUUAGUGCAUUAUUGGUUGCUUUCUCAUGCAGAUUUAGCAAUUUAGUCAGGCAGAGGCAGAGUAGUAGUUUUUUCUUUCCAUUUUGAUUGUAGCAAUUUAGUCGGCAAAUUUGGUAGCUCUCACUGGUUUGAAGCAAUACACAGAAAGUCUAGAUAACCAGAAGGUUAGUUAAUCCUUUAUUUUCUUUUUUUUUCAUUUUUUAAAUUUACGUUUGAAUUUGGUAUAUUUUUAGUUGGGACUGUUUUAUUUAGGAAUUUGGUUAAUGUUGCUGCAAGUUCUUUUUUGCUGCAAGUUCUUUUUUGCUCCAUUUUCUACUAAGUGUUGUAUGUUAAGAUCGGUUAUGGAAUAUAUUUGCAAUUAUCAUACAGUAUUUUGGUUUUUAAAAAUCCAAAUUGAAAUCAAAUUGAACCGAACCUUUCACUGGUUUGAAUCGGUUUGGUUCAUCAAUAAAUACAUAAUUUCUUUAAAACUUUUUUUUAUAUUAAAGUUACUUUCACUCGUUUAAAUAUGAAGUUUUUAUUUUCCCACUGUGAAAGUUUUUAAUUUUUAAUUUUUGUUUGGAUAAUUUUGGUUUAUCAACUUGUGAAAUGAAUUGAUUAAACGUUUUUAUGAAUCGAAUUUGUUUCAAGUUCAGAUUUGAUUUGGGUUUGUUGUAAUUAUAUAUUUUCAAAUGAAUAAAUAAUGCAUAAGUUUACAAAACAUAAUGUGUUAUUGCUCACGAAAACCUAAAAGAUUAUGUCCGAAUAAAGACAAAACUGCAGCUAUAGUCCAUCAACAUCAAAUUUGUGGAAGGACUUAAAAGGAUUAUGCUUAAUGAAAAUGGUUGCUAUAAAAAUUAUUUUUUUGAAUAAUUAUGAGUAAAUUUUUUAAAAAAUCGAUCUACUCUAAAUUUAGUGUAUGGCAUAUUUUGUAAAGAUAUACGAUAAAUACACUUGUCAAUUUUUUUAAUUUCCAUUUUAAAAUUGCCGCAAAAACAACUCUUUUUUAUUAGGAUUUAAUUAAAUUGAUUUCAAUCGGCAAAGUAUGAUGAAAUUCUUACUAUCAUUAAAAAAAUAGGUAAAUGUUAUGUUGUUGAGAUGUUUUAGGUUGGUUAAUAUUGGUUACGAUACUUUAAUCACCUCCAAUAUAUAUAAAAAAAAAUUAAAAAUUUGAGAAUUUAUGAAAUGAUAUAAUGUUAAUUCGUUAGCAUUAAAUAUUCUUAUUAUGUUACAAGUCAAUUAAAUUGAUGUCUUGAGCUUUGAUUUAAAUUAAAAAAGAAUAAAUUUAAACAUUAGAACGGAAAUAUCUAUAUUAUAAUAUUUGUAUCUAUAUACUAUUAUUUUAGUGUUUUAUUGAGUUGAUGUUAAUAUUUAAUAUUUUUAAAUGUUUUUAAAACUUAAAAAAUAUAUAUCAUAGCUUACAUAACUUACAUAACUCGCAUAACUUAUAUAUAUCAUACCAUAACUUAAAUAACUCACAUAACUUACAUAACUUAAUAACUUAUAUAUAUUGUCGAAACCAUUUUUAUAAAAUUUGAAAAACGGGGAUCGACUUCGAAAAUAAAAUGGGAGUCGCCACCGAUCUUUUAUUAAGGUGUGACCGGUUCACCGUUAAAAUGAUUUUGGUCUGCGAAAUUUUGAGAAAAUAAUUUCGGGAGUCGGUUACGUACGAGGAAGGGUUAGCACCCUCGUAACGCCCAAAAUUGGUACCAAAUUGAUUGUUUAAUGUCUUAAUGUCGAAAUUUUGAAAAAAUUUUGAAAUACAAUCCUCUGAAGUUUAAAUUUGAAUAAACCAAAUUGCAUAAUAAGACGCACUUAUUUCGAAGAAAUAAAUUGCCACACUCAGUGAGUUAGGGUGCAACAGUUCAAUCUUUAAAGUUAGAUUUGUCCUUUUAGAUUUUAAAAAUUCACGUGUUUUGAGAAGGAUAUUUGGUUAGUUGGGUCAAUCGAGAAAUUGGAAUCCAAUAAGUUAGGGUUCAAUUUCUCGAGAUUCCUAAACACCAAAUAUUGCCUUUAUUUUAAAAUCGAGAGAACAAGAUGUCAUAUCCAGUAAGUUAGGACCCAACAUCUUGAAAUCUCACAUGCUUUAUUUUGAAAUUGUAUGGUUUUAACAAAAUAAGCACUUGGCUAUCUAAAUUCAUCGAGAAGAGUUGAAGCCCAGUAAGUUAGGGCACAACUCACUCGAGAACCAUGAACACUAGGCCUUUUCUGAAAAUUAUGAAAUAAAAUGAUUGUGGUGCUUUGAUAAAAUACAAUUUUUACAAAUGAGACAUGAUUGAAUAGUAAUACAUAAUAUAAAAGAUAAAAGAUAAAUAGCAACACAAACCUACACUAAGACGUAACAAGUAGGUGAUAGAUAAAUACAAAUAGCAAUAAUGAUUUUAGUCAUAUUAUACUAAUACCAACAUCAAUGUUCGAAAGCUAAACAAAUCUAUCAUCAAUUUUAAGAAUACACCAAGAUAAUAAAAAAAUGAAAAAAAUAUCCUACGUAUAAAAGUUUUAAAAUAAAUUGCAUGCAUGAACUCAAAAUAAACUUGAAAUAAAAUAAUAACAACCUUGAAAAAUAGUAUAUAAAAAAAAUUAUAUAAACAUUUAGCAUAUAGAUAUACAAAAAUGAAUUUUAAGAUAUAACCUAAACAAAACAUUAAAAUGUAUACAAAUUAUACCAAAUUCUUAUAAAAAUAUACAUAUUAAUAAAUAAUGAAUCAAAUAAUAACAUGUCAAGUUUGAAGAUAAAAAUAUAUAAUAGAUAUUAAAAAAAUAAUAUAUGAUAAAUUUAAAACAUAUCAAUAAUAAUUUAAAAUAAUAGUAUAUUACAUUUUAAAAUUAUACUAAUAAUAAGUUUAAAAGUAAUGUCAAACUAAAUAUUAAAAUAUGCUAUAAAUAAAUAUAUUAAAAUAAGUACUAAAUUCGAUUUAAAAUUAUACUAUUAAAAUCAAGUUAAAGUUAAGACAUAAUUUAAAUAUAAAGAAAUAAUAAUAAUAAUAAUAAUAAUAGGAUUAAAAAUGAUAUUGGAAUUCAAAUAAAAAUAAAAAUAAAACACUACAAAUAGAAAUAAAAAAGAAAAAAUAAAGAUAAACUAAAUUGGUAAUCGACGUAAAAAAUGAGGGACUAAAAUUGUAAUUAAACGCAUGACCUGGGCAUUCAAUCCUAAUAAUGAAAACGACACCGCAUAACUAUGGAUCAAAUUGAAAACAAAAUAAAAUACACGAUUCAAAAUAAAAAAAUGAAGAAAAUCAAAUCGAAACAUCACAAAACAAGAGGGACUCAUCGUGCAAAUAGACCAAUGAAUAGAGACGCGCGAAUCCUGCCCCAGGUCGGGUCACCACGUUGGUCUGAGCCUCUAAACGAUGUCGUAUUGUGGCCACUGCACAGGCUCUGAACGACGUCGUUUCUUUCACUACUUAUAAGUAGAACCCUAGAGCAAUCAGCAAUUUAUUUUAUUUAAAAUAAAACCUUAAAGAUUUGAUUGCUGUUUUCAGCGCCGUUCUGUGAUGCAGUCAUUCGAAAAGGAACUUCGAAUCCUUGCUCAACCUCCGAUUGCGACAGAGAGAACCAGGAUCCGGCGGCCAGGUAAGUUCUCUUCUAACUCAUCCUUUUUAAAAAGAAAAGAAAAGAAAAGUAACAUAGAUGGAUCCCCUCGCCGCAUCUGUGGAUCGACUACUCAGGAGAUCCUCAGCCUCGUCCGACCCUGAUUGCGACGGAGCGAACGGAGACCGGGUAAGCCUCUCCUUUCCUUUCUCUCUUCUAUUUUAGUACUAAUCAAUGAACAAAGGAGCAGAGAAAAAAAAGAAAAAGCAAAAAGAUUAACAAUCACCUUUCGAACUUUUCGAUUUCUUCGAAUGAAUUUUUUUUGUAUACAAUAUGCAUGUGUGAUUUUUUUUGUCUCUGUGUCCUUUACAAAGGCCUUGCCUUUUUGUUUUAUAGGCCGAAAGAAAAAAUAAAUAAAAAGAAUCCAUUUUUUCGUUUUCUCUGCUGCGUUUUCUUCCCAUUUGCAGGUAUGGCGUGCGGGGCUGGGGACGUGGCAUGUACGGAGGCGCGCGCGAGGGAAAAGGCUCAGAACGUACGGAGGCUGGUCACGUGCGGACAAAAGGAGCUGCUGCGGCGCUGGGGUUUGCCCUAGGGUUGCUCUGUAUUUUUCUUGUUGGGCCGCUUCGUCAUUGGGCUAGGGUUUUAGAAAUUUAGGUUGGGUCUGGGUUGAAUUUGGGUUGUGAUAUUGGGCUUAGUGGGUCUGAUGUAUUUUGGGUUUGUAAUAUGGACUGAUGGACUUUUAAUAAUUUUGUUUUUAUUUAUAUUUUUUUUAUUUAUUUAUUUCUGAUUUGGACCGGGCAAAUUUGGGUUAUUACAUAUAUCAUACCAUAACUUAAAUAACUCACAUAACUUACUUAACUUAAUAACUUAUAUAUAUCAUACCAUAACUUAAAUAACUCACAUAACUUACUUAACUUAAUAACUUAUAUAUAUCAUACCAUAACUUAAAAUAACUCACAUAACUUAACUUAAUAACUUAUAUAUAUCAUACUAUAAUUUACAUAACUCACAUAACUUACAUAACUUAAUAACUUAUAUAUAUCAUAUCAUAACUUACAUAACUCAGAGAACUUACAUAAGUUACAUAACUUAAUUAUACUUAUAAAUAACCAUGAUUACCCGUGUAAUUUAUUGUCAACUUUAGACUUCAAUAACAACGAAAUGGACUGGUCUUGGAUGAAUUUGUCAAGGGUAAGCAACGACUAUCGAAAUGGAGUACAAAUUUUCCUAAAUUUUGUAUUCCAAAAUACAAGCCAAGAGAAUAUGAUUCUUUGCCCGUGUAAGAAGUGUGGCAACAUCAAUUGGCAUUUUCGUGAAGUUGUCUAUGAGCAUCUAAUUGCCGAUGGGUUUCUUCGGGGGUAUAAAGAAUGGAUUUUCCAUGGAGAAUGCACACCUAGUACUUCCUCUUCAACGAUUAAUCUGGCUCAUCCUCAUAGUGCUUACCAUCGGUCUGUCAGAGAAGAUAACAUGGAAGGUCUGUUUCGAGAUGCAUUUACUAUGCGCAAUCAUGGUUUGCAAUCAUUUUCACCCGACUUUGUUGUAUCCGAUGAUUGUAAUAUCGGUAGAAAUGCUUUUACCCAAACGGAAGAAGUAUACCUAAUGAAUAGCCAAAUGGAGAUGCGGAAAAGUUCUACACGCUGCUUAAUGAAAUGAAUGAAGAACUUUAUGAGGGAUCAAAAUUUUCAAAAAUGUCCUUCUGUAUUUGUCUUUUUCAGUUAAAGUGUUUGGGAGGGUGGACUGGAAACUCUUUGACAAUGCUGUUAAAGUUUUUGAGAGAGAUGUUUCUGUUUGCAAAAACCUCUCAUUCAUGCAAAGAUAUGAAGAAACUGAUAAAAGAUUUAGGCCUUGGGUACAACAAAAUUCAUAGUUGCUCAAAUAACUGCAUGUUGUAUUGGGGUGAUCGGAAAAACCAACAGUGUUGUCAUGUAUGCGGCCAAUCCCAUUGGAUAAAUAGAAACAAAAAAGAUGGGAAUGACGAUGAAAAUGAUGUACAGUAAAGAAAGAAGCUAAUUAAGAUUUUACGAUAUUUUCCGCUACUACUAAGGCUUCAAAGGCUUUUCACGUCGUCGAAGAUAGCCGAGUCUAUGACGUGGCACCAUGAUGGACGAACCAAUGAUGGAUUAUUAAGGAAUCCGGUGGAUUCUUUAGCUUGGAAAUCAUUUGACAGUAAAUUUCCAAGCUUUUCAAGCGAUCCUAGGAGUGUGAGGCUUGGGCUAGCAUCUGAUGGAUUUAAUCCUUACAAAAUCAUGAGCACUGCGUACAGUACUUGGCCUGUAGUGCUUGUUCCUUACAAUUUGCCUCCAUGGAUUUGUAUGAAGCAAUCUUCCUUUUUCUUAUCUAUGAUUAUCCCUGGAAAGAAAGGUCCCGGAAAUGAUAUUGACAUUUAUUUGCAGCCACUUAUUGAAGAGUUAAAAUAAUUAUGGGCUGGUGUUGAGACAUAUGAUGUACUGAGAAAGGAGAACUUUAAUUUACGUGCAGCUUUGAUGUGGACUAUUAAUGACUUCUUAGCUUAUGCCAAUUUAUCUGAUUGGAGUACCAAGGGACGUUAUGCUUGUCCUUGUUGUGCUGCGCAAACAUGUUCGCAAUGGUUAUAUAAUGGGAAGAAGUACUCUUACAUAGGACAUUGUCGGUGGUUACCGGGAAAUCAUAGAUUUAGAUUUUAGAGUACUCUGUUUGACGGUACUGAAAAGUUCAGAGAAGCUCCUUCGCAGACCGAUGGAUCUGAAAUCUUGUUCAUGUUGAAAGAUAUGAAUUUCAGUUAUGGGAAGAUGAAUCAACCACCCAACACGCAAAGAAAUAGAAGAUCAAGAGAUGAAUCUGAUGAUGAAGAGGAUGAAGAGGAUGAUCCUAAUGAGGCGGACUUGUGGAAAAAAAGAAGUAUUUUUUUGAGUUGCCUUAUUGGGAGCAUCACAUUUUACGACACAAUCUUGAUGUCAUGCACAUUAAGAAAAAUGUCUGCGAGAACAUCAUUGGGACAAUUUUGAAUGUCGAUGGAAAAUCGAAAGACAAUCUUCAGAGUCGACUUGAUUUAGUCCACAUGGGAAUUCGGCGUGAUCUUCAUCCCCAAGCACUUCCGAAUGGGAAAUAUCGGUUGUCGCCUUCUGUUUUUUCAAUGUCGAAGACGGAGAAAGAAGCGUUCUGCAUGGUGUUGAAGGAUAUAAAGGUCUCAGAUACGUAUGCAUUAAAUAUAUCUCGAUGUGUGAGUAUUAAAGAUCGAAGACUAUAUGCCUUAAAAUCACAUGACUAUCACAUCUUGAUGCAAGAUUUACUGCCAGUUGCUAUGCGGUGUUGUAUGUCGAAAAAGGUGACGUCUGGUAUAAUUGAACUAUCCAAUAUAAUGAAAGCCAUUUGUGGCAAAGUUUUGGAUGUUCAAGAACUUGAGACACUACAAGAUCGAGCCGCAUUGACUUUAUGCAAUUUGGAGAAGAUCUUCCCACCUUCUUUCUUCACUAUAAUGGUGCACUUGCUAAUCUAUCUCCCUCAUGAAACAAUACUUGGUGGACCCAUUUUCUAUCGAUGGAUGUAUCCCAUAGAAAUGUGUUAAUUUAUUUGUAAAUUAUUCAUUCAUUCACCUCUAUGCCUUUAGUUACAACUUUUGAUAAUGUUGUAUAUCGUAUUUAGGUUUCUAUCCAAAUUGAAGUCUUAUUGCCGCAAUAAGCGUUAUCCAGAAGACUCAAUUGCUGAAGGCUACUUGGCUGAGGAGUGUAUGACUUUCUGUUCUAGAUAUUUGGAAGAUGUUGAAACAAGAAUAAACAAACCAAGUAGAAAUGAUGGGCUCACUGAUCAUAACUUGGCCAAAACUUAUUUAUUUCAAAGUUAUAGAGAACUAAUCGGCAAAGUUGAAAUUUCAGAAUUAGAUGAUAGAUCGUGGCUACAAGUACAUCGAUAUGGUCUUUUUCACCAUGAUUCAAUGGAACCAUUACGCAAGUAAGUUCUAGAAUUUGAUAAAUAUUCAUCAAUUACAAUUUGUUUAUCUUCUAACAAAGUAAACAUCUUUUUAACAUAGUGAGUACAAACAAAUCUUGAGAUCUCAUCCACGCUCCCGAAGAUUACAACAUCGAGAGAUUAAUAAGUUAUUCACAAAAUCUUUUCAUGAAUGGUUAAGCCAAACAGUAUGCAAUUGAAGCUUUCAUUGACAAAUAAUAAUAUUUUCUCAUAACAUUUAUAAUUACUCAAUUUACCUUCGAUUCAAUAGGUUUGGAGUGGGAAUGACGUAAAUGACGAAGUUAAAUGGCUUUCUCAAGGUCCGAAUAGAGUAGUAAAAAGAUAUAGUGCCUUCCUCAUCAAUGGAUUCCGAUUUCAAGCAAAAUAUCGGGAGAGAUUGAGGAGAACUCAAAAUUGUGGAAUAGUUGUUAAUUCUUCUAUUACAAGUUAUGCUAGUGCAAGGGACAGUAAUCCUGUUGAGGGAAAUGUGGAGUAUUACGGACUUCUUACUGACAUUAUUGAGUUGGAUUACUAUGGCAAAUGGAAAGUUGUCUUAUUUCGAUGUGAUUGGGCUAACGUUAAUACUGCUCGUGGAAUUAAAUAAGAUCAAUUUGGUUUUACAAUGGUGAAUUUCUCUCGAUUGAUUCACAUUGGACAACAAUUGAUAAAUGAGUUGUAUGUAUUUUCUUCUUAAGUGAAACAAGUUUUUUACUCAAAAGAUCCAACUGAUAAGGGUUGGUACGUUGUACUCCGUAACAUCCCUAGAGACUUGUUUGACAUGGGCAAUGGAAGUAGAGAUGACAUCGACGAUAGAUCAGAAACUUUACCUUUUUCAGAACAAAACUUAAAUGAAAAUAUCCCUAGUACUAGUACACAAUUUCAAUGGGUUCGUCAAGAUGUUGAUGAAGAUAUUUACGAAUUAUGAUGUAGUAAGAUUUUACGAUUUUUUAAUUAUAUGUAAGAUUAUAAUUUAAAUAUUGGUCUUAUUAAAUAUUUCAACUAUUUUAUAUGUGUUGUUAUUGUUCUAAUUAGUUACUAAAAUUUCAACUAUUUUAUGUGUAUUGCAGAUAAAAUGCCUAGAAGAAGAUUGUGAGAUCUAAGUAUUGUUCAAAAUACUCCAAACUCGGAAGAAACAAAUAGUGAACAACUGACUGCUAUUGGAUCUUCGAAUGUUCCGAAUACACCUAACGAACUUGCAGAAUUUCAAAGUAUGUUUAAAUUUAAUUUACAUGCGUAAUGACUUUUAUUAUUGAUUUCUUUUUCAAAUUCUUAUAUUAUAAUAUAUCAUUUUUCAGCUGAAAGUGUGGGACGCGCAGUGGUCGAAGACAUACACUACUUAAAGAUUUAUACGAGUUAGAUCCUGUCGAGCGUGUCAAAGUAUGUAGAAACAGUUUUGGUCAGCCUGUUGGAUCAGAAGCUCGGCUUUUAGCAGAUAUUUGGGCAUUAUAGCACGAAAUGCCAAUAUGUUGCCUAUCAACUACGAGUCAUGGCAUCAAAUGUCAAUAUUAAGGUAACAAAACCUUAAUGUAAUUUAUAAUACUUUGGUUUAAGUUUCAUUUAUAUUACUUUCUAAACUUGUGUUUUUUGUAGGCGAUGUUUGCUUUAGAGGUCUCGGAUAAUUAUGUCAAGAAGGCAUUGGGAAAAAGGUGGAGAGACCAUAAAAUUACUUUAAAGAAAGAAAAUUUUUAAGACAAAAACAACCCUCGAAGAGAAAUUGCGAAAUGUCCCGCUGGGAAUGUUGAGGUACCAAUGGAAAGAUGCGGUUAGAUUUUGGAAUUCAAAGAAAUGAGAGGUAUUACGUACUUCCAAACUCUUAUAACUAUUUCGGUUUAUAGUAUUUACUAUAUACGUAAUAAUAAUUUCAUAAUGUGGGAUCGUGAACGAGUUGGAACAAGCAGCAGGCAAAAACAGAAAUUCACUCACAUAGCUGGGUCGAAAAGUUUUGUUUGUGUAGUUGAGGCCGAGAUUUUUUGAAUUUAUAAAUAGUGUAAAAUAUUUAUUACUUUCCAUUAAAUAAUAUUUUUACUACUAUAUUGUAGGAACUGUCGUCUGGUCAAAAAGUUAGACGCCUUCAACUUUUUGACAUUACAUAUGGGAAGAAAAAUGGAUCUCCUAUGACUUCUGAAGCUGCAGAAAUUAUGGUAUGUUUAGUUAAUAAAAUUUUAAUUAUUUUAAAUAUUUAUAGUGUUUAAUUAUAAUGGUUUAAUUCAUCGUUUGUAAUGCAAAUAAUGUUAAGUUAUGUUGCAUUUGUUUUUAUUAUAUAUUUCGUUUCUAACUCUUUGAUUAAUUUAUUAGAAGAAACUAAAGGAUAAAAAGGCAGAGUAUGAAGCGAUUACUUCGAGUGAUAGUUUUGUUAAUGCUCACGAAAUUGAUAAUCGGGUUAUUACUGAAGUUUUGGGUCCUGAAGGGUAUGGACAGGUUCGAUUUCAAGGAUCUUUUGUUAAUCCAACCCAAUAUUUUGGAUCCAGCUCGCAGCAAUACAUGCUUUCGGGGAGUCAAGCUCAAGUUGAAAUUCAGAGGUUAAGAGACCAGAUGACUCAGAUGCAAGCGAACACAGUUGAGCUAAUUACUCAACUUAAAGCGAAUGCAGCAUCGAGAGAAGCUGAGGUUCAAAGAAAAAAUGAAGAACUCAAGCUACAACUUAAAGAAGAGGUAGCAGCGAGGGAAGCAGAGCAGAGCAGAAAGUACGACGCACUCUAACUACAGCUUCAGAAUAUGAUGAAGAUGUUUCAGCAGUCGCAAAAUCUGCCAUCUUAGACUAUUGUAUGAAUAUUUUUAACAUUUUAGCUUUUAACAUUAUUGUAUUAUACUUCAUUUAUCAAUUUAUAUCAUAUAUCAUUCGUUGAAUUUGAAGUAUCAUUUAGGUUGCUGUUUUUGGUUGGUUUCUAUGUUACAGGAAGGGUUGCAUAUGGAUGAAAAUUGGAUGUUAGAAAUCUGCCAAAAUUAGUGGCGUUUUCAAUAAAAGCGCCGCUAAAGAAUAUGACAUUUAGCGUCGUUUUCUAUAAAAGCGCCGCUAAAGAACAUGACCUUUAGCGGCGUUUCUUAUAAAAGCCCCGCUAAAGAAUAUGACAUUUAGCGGCGUUUGCUAUAAAGGCGCCGCUAAAGAACAUGACCUUUAGCGGCGUUUGCUAUAAAAGCGGCGAUAAAGAACAUGACCUUUAGUGGCGCUUAUCUUUAAACGCCGUUAGAGGUUAUGAUCUUUAGUGGUGUUUGUGGUAAAAACGCCGCUAAAUAUCAUGUUCUUUAGCGGCAUUUAUGUGAGAAAAAAGUCACAAAAAAUAACGGCAUGGUCUAUAGCGGCAUUUUUUGCGGCUCUUGUGAAAGUGCCGCAAAUACUUUUAGCGGCGCUUAUAGGCCUAAAAAAUGCCGCUGAAAGCCUAUUUUGCUGUAUUGUUAGUUUGUUAAGUUUACUCUGGAUUAUACCAAUUUUUAAUUUAUUUAUACUUAUAAUUGUUUGAUUCUAUUUUAUGAUUACUCGAAUAAUUUUUAUUGUAAUAAUUUAAUAUUUAUAAUCACUCAAACAUAUAUUUAUAUUGUAGUUUAAAUACUUAAAAAAAUUUUCAAAUCAAAAUUUGCUACCCUCUUCCUUUUCCCACACAGAUAGGUAAUUCCUUUUCUAUUUUCUUUUUCUUUUUAUUAUAUUAAUACAUUCUAAAUAAACUAAAUAUUUUAUAUAUAUAUAAUACAAGCUCAAUUCAACAACUUAUAUUUACUGGUUUAGAUAAUAUAGUUGAUAAGUUUUAACCAAAACACCCAACUGAGAAAUUUUUGUCAAAAUAUGCCUUAAAUUUUCACAAAAAAUAAAUCAAAUAACGGGAGGAUGAAAAUGAAUUUAGGUUAGAAUAAAUUUAAAUAUAACCAACUCAUGAUUUAAGUAUUGUUGUAGGAAUUAGAUCGGAUCAACUGAUUGGUAUAUUGAUCCAAACAAAAAAAUUCAAUCUAUUUUUGAGCAAACACUUAGAAUCAAUUGAACUGGGGCAGAAAUCAAUUGUAUCGAUUUUAUAAUUUUUAAAGAAUUUUUUUUAUAUUUUUAUAAUUUUAUGACUUAAUAAUUUAUUUAAUUAAAACCAAAUCGACGAUGAAACCAAAAAUCGAUGUUGGUGUGGUUUUUAAAAUCAUAGAUUUAAGUACUUAUGACAUCAUGUUCUCAAAAACUCAAACCUUUAUCAACAUAUAGAAUCGAAUCGAAUAGCGUUUUCAUCUCCCAAGUUUCUAUACAUAAACUAUGAACACUGAAUUAAACAAUACAAAAAUGGUAUUCUUCUUCCACUGACAUUUGAUAUCGGCUUCAGAAAAGGCAAAAGACAAGAAUAAAGAGAUAAAACAAAAGAUUAAAUCAAUCCUAUAUCCUUGACUGACAUAAUUUACCUUAAAAACUCUAUAUUUUAACCAAUCCCACCUAUAUGAUUUUUCUGUUUUCCUAUACAUAAAUUAAAGCUUACUUGGAACCAAGUCAUUGUAUUGUAUUUCACGUAAUUGUUUGAAGCAGAUCCUCAUCUCCUCCAUCUGCAUUGAAGGAAUAGAUGUCGACCGGGGCCAUCGUGCAACCCAUGGCGUUCUGCUUGGUUCUUUUAUUACGGGAGGAGCCUCGGUGUUUGUCUAGAUAGAUUACAAUCACGGUGAUAUCGUCGUGAAAAUGGCGCCUUAUCCCCUUUUCGAUUUUCUUGAUGUCACUGUAUCUCAUCUCCCUUUUCUUUGCAACUUCUUGAAGUGCAGCUCUUACCAAUCUCUUGGCAAUACCCUGCAAGCAUUCAAGCAAACAAAUAUCAAUACCGAAAUGCGUUGCAUUUCCAUACGUUUCAUUAGGUUAAUGGAAGAACACGAAUACUCACGGCUCUCGGGUUUUUGAAAACGAUGUUUACAGCAGCUUCAUCACUCAACUGCUCCCAUAGGCCGUCUGAUGCAAAGAUGAGGAAUUGAUCCUGGGGCUUCAGCUUUCUAAUAAGGAUCGAGGGUUCUGCUGUAAUAACCGGCCUUUUAAGAGGAACGGGGUUUCCGAACUGCUGGAAGAUCGGAUCUCUAUAAAACUCAGGUUUCUUCAGGUAAACAUCACCUAUAGAUCUUGACACCUGAAAUAAGACGAACAAAAAUGGCUCAGACCAGCAUGACCACUCACAUGCUCAAAGAUCAUGUAUUAAUCAAUCAUCUCCAGUUCUACAAUCCAAUGUACGAUAAAAGCUAAUGCAUCUUAUUCUCUCGAUACUGAACGGAUCGAAGUAUAAAGCUCAACUUGCCUACUAAAGUAAAGGGGAACAACAUCACAAAAAGAGAAGAAAAACAUAAAAACGAGAGAGCAAUGAUUCCCUGCAGUUACAUAAGCCUAGCUUUAUGCUUCAGGGGCCUGCAUUUGUCCAUCUCAUGCAUACAACGCAUACUAUAUGGAAAAUAGCAGCAUGAAACAGUACUGGAAAUCAGACCAAAAUAUUCUUGGAAAAGUCGAAAAACUCAGAAUUAUAACCAUUUUUUAGAAUGAACUUUCAUUCUAAUGCACAAUGUAUACAUCCAUAAUUAUAUUAUACCUCUCCAUCAAGCAAAAAGAAACAAAUGGGUUGCAAGCAAUGCCUACGAAGAGGAAGUUAAUUGGCAACUAUUUCUAGAAUCAACACAUUGAUCAUUCCUCAAGCAGACUAGUUUUGAACUAAACGAUUAUAAAUCAACUUGUCAAUAAAAUUGUACCUGGAUUAUGCCCUUAAUCCUCCAAACUCCGUGGGUGUAAACCACUAUAUGUGAGUCAUCUGGAUGAAGUUCCUCGACCUCCUUUCGAACUUCCUCAACUCCAACAUUAUGAUCAGUUGACAACCUCUCUGCCACUACUGUGUUUUCCUUAUCCCCCGAAGCUUUCCUGCCAAGAACAGCUCUCGAGUCACCGAGAUUUGCCACGUAUAACACAUCAUUCGAAAUUGCACCAACUAGACAGCAUGAUCCAACCGAAGCAAUUUGAGGCCUCACAGGCAAUGAUCGCUUCACCAAACGCAAAAACUCCUCUUCAGUGGCAUUGAAUGCCUUCUUUAUCACAUCUGCAGAUAAUCCCCCUUGUUCUGUAGCAAAUUCUACAAUGAAUAAAGAAAAAAAAAUUAAGGGUCUCCAUCAAUCUUUUUUAGAAUCCAAGUGCAUGCUUAUCACUGAAAAGGAUGCAAAACAAAGAAAAAUAAAUGACCUGAAAAAUGCCAAAACUUGAACUACACUUACUAAUUAUUCUGAAAAAUUCAAGUCCAAACAACCCCAAGUAGAUACAAAUUUAGACAAAUAGUUCAUAUUCUCUUUUCCCAUCAAAACAGACAUAGUACUACAUGACUAUGGAGCGGGGCAAGAUAGAUAUUGUCAAAUUCAUUACUGUUCCAUUGUUGGCAUGAUCUGCCUCGACCCCACUCUGCUUCGCCGUAAAUGUUAAAACUUGAAUAUCAUUACUUUUAAUAUGCAUAAUCUAUCAAUACCUCACCUAAUAUAUACAUUUUUACUCGUUUUAAAAGCUAAAUAAAUAAGAAUAAGGCAAAUAUCAAAAUUAAGUGCCCCAUAGGUCCCUCUUUUACUGUUAAAAAUUAGAAAAAGAAAGUCUAUUUGGAGUCAUCAGUUCGAAAUCUAUCAAACUAAAUACAUAUUUGAUGAUUCCAUAGACAGCUUAUGAUUUUCCUGACAAGGUCGUAUCCAUAUACAUACAUGAUCACAUGUUCAUUCAUGUCAUACAUACAUACAUACAUACAUACAUACAUACAUACAUACAUACAUACAUACAGAAUAGAAUGGGAAAAAAGGAAUGUUGCAAUAAAGAGGGAAAAAGGGAAUUACUGUGGAGAAAAGGGAAGAGAUGUUUGUUAACAAAACGGGAAGCUUCGGGACCGCCAUGACCAUCGUAGACGCCAACGUAGGUAGCAAAAGGAGAGGCCAAGACUUGGCUUUGAUCUUCGAGGCAGUUGUUAGCCUGCACGACGGCGAUGGAGAAAUCACCGGAAGCGUGGGGUUUAAGGUCAGCGUGCCACAUGAGAGCAUCCCCACCAGCUCUAACGCCAAGACAACGUUCGAGCGGCCUGGAAAGGGAACGUAACAUCAUCAUCAUCGUGUUUAAAAAAUAAUAAUAAUCCCUUUAUAGGGAAUUUGAUUAAAUGAAAACCUCUUCGAUGGUUUCAAUGGGGGGUUUCACUUUGGGGGAAGAGGAAAAUGGGAAGAUAUUAAGAGGGAAAGAGAGAGUAGAAAGUGGGGUAAAGUGAAUGGAAAAGAAAUGCCGCGUAAAGAGAGGAAGAUGAUGAUGACCAACGACCCCCGAUACUUGCUGUAAUUACUUCCCACUCUACGCGUUAACUAAUACCCUUUUUCUUCUUUUUUGACUUUUAAACCCAAAUCCUUUUUUUAUUUUUAAUUUAUUGAACGGAGAAGGUUAGGUCUAAUUUAAUAUUUCAAUUUUUAAAGAAUCGGAUCGGUGGUUGAAUUAUUCUCGAUUUAAUCUGUUAAUUUAGUUUAACUUAGAUUUGUUCAGGUGGUUCGAUUUGAAGAUUUGUUCGAAAGAGGAGAGAAUUUGGAUAAAAAUAUAAGCUUAAAAAAUAAAUUUUAAUAAAAAAAAUAAGGUACAUUUUUUAAAUGGGUCUCAAUAGAUCCAAACAAGAUAUACAAAUUUCUAAUAGAUCAGAUAAAAUCGCAAAGCAAAUAAUCCCAAGAUUCAAUUAUUCAUUAACUACCCGUAUAUCUUAAGAUUAAGAAUUAAAUAUUUUUUUAGUAUUUUUUUUUUUUGCGAGGAGCUGGAUGAGAAGAAACUCUCAUGUCCAGUUCUGUAGUAGAGAUGGAAUUCAUAAACAACAACCAUCAACUAUAACCCCAAAAGAACUCGAUUUCGUAAACGAGUCUCAAUAUUUUUUUGUUCGGGCCCAACCUAACUUGGCUCGAAUUUACCAAAAAAAAUUGUUAUGCUUUGUCACUAUUUUGCUGUUAUUUCGCUAUUAUAUUGUUACUAUUUUAUUAUUUUUGUUUAGAUAUUAUAUAACUAUUUUUUUAUUAUUGAUUUUGUUACUAUUUUAAAGGCAUUUGCUUGCUAAGUUGCACGUAUCUUAGUGUUAGUUGAGUAUAAAUAUUUUUUAAAAUUUUAUUUUCAAUAUAAAUAUUUUUAAAAAUUUAUUUUCAAUUUAUUGGGAAACAUUUAUUUUAAUAUUUUUAGUCUAUUUAAUGUAUUAUAUUUUUUAGAUUUGUUUUUAUAUAAAAAUAAAAAUAUAAAAAAAUUAAUACAAGCAAGUCGGGUCAGGCAUGGGUUUUAGCGUUUUUAUCCAGGUCAAGCUUAAGUAAAAUUUUAGGCCAAUUUUUCGAGUCAGACUCAGGCCUAGAAAAUAGGCCUAAAAUUUUAUCUCGGUCCAGCUGACCCAUGGAUAGCUCUAGUUCAGCCCCUUUGUCUGAAUUGAUAUAUCAAUCGAUUUAUUGGUUCAACUAGUUCGAUUAGUUGAUUUGAUUUGAUUCAAAAACACUAAGGGUUAUUUCAAGUUUAACUUAAUUUGUAUUUGUGCCGUUAGUUUGAAUUGUUUUGAUUUUAAAUCAUUCAAAUUCGACACUUAAUUUUUUGAGUCAAAUCUUUUUGGGUCUAUUUCAAAUUAUAAUUUUAUAAAAAGAAAGUGAAUUGAAUAAUAUCAAUGUUAUUAAAUUGGGUCACAAUUAAUAGGCGUACUAGAAUCUAAUUACAAAUAUAUAUCCAUAAGACAAAACCAAAAAUAAAGGAUUAACAUCUGACAAAGGAUUGACAAUGCAUUGUCCACAAAGUUAUCCACAAAUUUAAUUAGACACAAAACAAGAUAAACACUUACUAAAUGUAUGUAUAUAUGAUUAAAAUAGAGGGGUAACGUGAAUUCCGUAAGUUAACCUAACGAUUAAGAUACUCAUCGUUUCAAGGGUGAUUUGGGAUUGAGUCGCGUUAAUCACACCCUUAAUAGGGAUUUGCCCUCUUCUAGAAAAUGGAGGACUAAAAGUUUGAAAUCUUAUUUAGUAUUUACAGCCAUGAUUAAUUCUCUUUAUGAUCUCCACCCAUACAAUAAAUGUGAAAGGGGUAGCAGUAUAAAUAACAUGUCUUUAUAGGGGGCCGCCAUUCAAGAAUAUCUUACUUCCUCUGAACCUGACAGUGAGGCAUGGAUAGCAACUUACCUAACACAUGUAUCAAAUUCAACACUAAAAUUAAACUCAUAUACCAAAUUGAAAUUUAAAAAGAAAAACUCAAAUACAAAAUUCGACAUUAAAAUCAAACGGAAGUACCGAAAAACAUUCAUAAACCUUUUCCUUUGUUUUUGCACCCGUCAAAAUUCCAAGACUUACAUAUCUCUAAUUAAGAGCAUCAUCAUUUACAAAAAUUAAAAAAUUAAUCCCUCUACUUUAACUUGUUAUAAUUUGACCCACGUAAGUUAUAACAAUCGAAAAGUUAAUCUAAUUAAGUAAUAUUGUUAAACCUUAUUAUUGGAUUGUUUAUUUGGAAACCAGUAAUUUAACAACUUAUAUGCAACAAAUUAACAAAACUCAUUUGUUCAAGUUCAUGUUUUGAAUAACACCUGGACUCACUUUCCAAUUUUCAUAAGCUACAAUGACUAAAUUUUGACAAAUUAAAGUAGAGGGACCAACUUCUCAAUUUUCAUAAAGUAAGGGAUGAAAAUCAUAAUUAGACCAUGUAUAUGUUCUAUCGCGUAAGUUGGGGAUUGUUUUAUAGUAUACUUCUACAGUAAGGACAGUCCCCACACGUUCUGAGCCAAGGAUCUAAGCAAGCAAAGUGAAACCUGUGCCCACACGGCAGCUGAGUAAGCACAUCUCCUUCUCCGAAGCUUUCAAGGCAUAUACUGCAAUCUCUUGAUUCCCUUGAUGUCUUUCUUUCAACAUUGACGUCUUGGCUGCCGAAAAUUUCCAGUGGCAAACGGUCCAGAGCUUCCUGAGUAAGUCCAGGAGGCUUCUUGUUUGUUUCUCGUAACAAUUCGAACCUUUCUGCUUCAGAGGUUAAUGGGGAACCCCUAGCUGCCAACCCUGUAGAGAGUUCACUUAUGAUCCUAAAAUCAUCGCCCGUUACAUGCUCCCGGUGGUAAGCAUUAGGUGGAGCUCUAUUGCUUCGCCUGAAGAAAACAACAGGAAGAAACCGUAAUGAGAAGGAAAAGAAAAGAUGUACAAAAUGUUUAAAUAGCGGUUAAUGCAAGACCUAACAUAUAUGUGUCCAUUAUUGAAUGCCACACCAAGUAAAAUUCAGGAUCGAGUGGUCCACAUGCUUCUCUCAAGCAGUAGAUGGUAGUUAGGAAACGAGUAACACUAAUUCGCUGUGUACAUGAAGUGGUAGCAAAAGUGGUCUGGCUAGUCAUAGUGGCUAAUGAUGUUACUACUUAGAACCUAUGUUACUCAGACUCGGGCAUGGGUUUCAGAUAUGGAUAUGUAUCCAAUACAGGUAUGAUUACUUUUUCUAAGUUUUUCCAUAUAUUUAGAAGAUCCUUGGAGGUCAUAUCCUCGUAUUUGUGUGUCGGACACGAGUGAAAUGAAGAGUCCAAGCAACAUAGCUUAGAACCACUAAUAUUACCAUAGAAUAGGAAGCACCAGCAGUGGGACUGGACCAUAUUGAUAGUUAGCAAUGCGAGAACAACAGGCACUAAUGGGCAGAAAGCACCAAUAACAGCAGUGGGCCUGGAAAUUAAGGUACUACUGGUAGGUAAGGAGUGACGAAAGCAAUAUCAGCUUGAAUGUAUUAGCAGAAAUGGGACAGAAAUUUCAAGCAUAAAAACAUAAAUUCAAUCUAUUCAAGAAUAUAUAAAUAUAUAGAGAGAGAGACUAAAUUCAACUUAAACGAUGAGACUAAAUUCAACUUAAACAUUUUCAAGGAAAAAAGAAAAAGCCUGCCAAAACAUGAUUAUGUUAGGCAAUUCCAUAGAAGAAAGUUCAAAUUCACUAGUGACAACCCACCCGACUGACCAGCUGAAAAGUCCAUGGUAAGUUAGAAAAUAGUUUGGACUGAGUGAAAUUAGUCUCAACAUUAACUGACUACAAUCCCUAACAGCUCUAUCAUAUGAUACAGUAUCUCUAUUCUUACGGCUAAACCAAGUCAGACUCCUAGUGCCCCUAAUACAAUACUACAUAUUUAUCAUUUGGAUUCACUAAUAAUAAGGUAGCACAAUGAACUGCAAGGCACUGAAUCUUCCUACAGGUUACGAUGCAAAUUGCUCAUAUGAUAGACACUUCUUUUGAUCAUAUUGCACCCUCAACAGAUCCACAAAAUCAAAGUUCAAGAGCAAAAUCAUUCUGAAUUUAGGUAAAACUUUCACAGACACAGAGUUCCACAUGAUUUGUCUAUCCUAUCAUCAAACUUCAGAAAUAAGUAAUAGAGAAGAGAUGUGCUGUGCUGUCUUUAAAAAAUGAAAUUUGUGACAGACCAAGAAUAGUGGGAUAAAUUUGGUCCAACUAGAGUAGCAAAACAAAUUGAGUGCCACAGGCAAGUUCACCAUCAAUGAUAAAAGUGGCUUCCAAUUGGUGUCAAAGAUCAUGCAGAUAAGAAAGAACAUGAUUCAAUAGCUAUUAUAUUUACUUGUUCUUGCAGUUUGACUAGUAAUAAUGCUGUACAUAAUACAUGGACAAGAAAUGCAAACACUAAGAGUGGCAAAUUUGCAGAGAGCACUAGGUAACCUGUUUGCAGAAACAGACACGCCUCUUAGUCUUUCAACAAGCCUUGCUCUUGCAAGCAGCACAGCUCCGGGAAGCCUUUCAUUUGCUCUCAAACUUUGCCUGCUUGAACUGCUAACACCAUCUGCAUUUAAUCCAUAGCUCGAACUGAGCUCGCCAGUACCUUCAUCAAACCCUUCUCUAGCAAGCCUCUCACUUGAUCUCAAACUUUGCCUUCUUGCAUUGCUUACACUGACUGCAUUUAACCCAUUGCUCGAUACAAGCUCGCUGGUACCUUCAUCAAACCGCACUGAUGAACGCUCCUGAAAAAGUAAUAUCCAAAUAUAAGCGAUUCAGGCGAGGAGAAAUAAAUUACGUAGACGAGGUAAUAAUAUCAAACUUCCUUGUUUAUUCUUGUAUAUGUGGCAAAAACUUACUGCAAGUGAGCUUAGGCUUUGCUUGGUACCAAAGACGGAAACAUGGAAAAUUUGUUCAUCAAAUGUUAAGAUUCAUAUCCACCUUAUUACUUUGUAACUUAACCAUCAGAUAAACAAUUUUCCAAUUCACUCCUUUCCAUCCUUCAUAACAAGCAGAGCCUUAGGGUUUAGAAAAUUGUCAAGAAAAUACCUAUUCUUCAGUAAUUUCACUGAUAAAUUUAGCUUAAAACUACUAAUUUUCGGAGCAAAGUUCAAUAUUGGAGCAUAAAACAGACAACGAAUAAAGUACCAAUAAAUUGGUUGAAAAUCCAAUUUUUAAAUUAAAAAUAAAUAAAUAAAAGUGCGGUUUAUUUUCCCUUCCAAAAAUAAUACUUAAUCCACCCCCAUUUUUCCUUUAAUUUCUCUUUUUUUUCUCAGCAAUAAAAUAAAAACAAAUACCUAACAAGAAAUAAAUAAUUUGAAAAAAAAAGGUAAAAGAGAAAUUGAGCGUACAGAGAGCGAGGAAGCACGGGAGCUGAAGUGGCGCACGUGGGGAGACCGGCGGAAGGAAUCACCGCCGUCCAAAUCAUGCCUCUGAUUGUGAUGACUGAGAUGAUUCCGGCGAUGGUAAUUCCGUUCAAUUGAGGACCCAAUCCCUAAAUCCGGAUCGGGUCGACCCACUCUUGACCUUCGUGUGUAGAAUAACUCCGAAGCGCUUGUCAUCCAACUAAAACCCCCAAAUGGUGUUUUGAUCUGAUCUUACCAAUUAAAAUUUAUUUUUAAUUUCUCCAAAAAAACAAUUAAAUAAACAUGAAAAUUGUAAUUUGGAUUAAGAAAUAAAGGAGAGAUGUUGAUGAGCCCUACGAAGAAACGCGGGAGAAAUUCCUGCGAAUGAAAAUCGAUAGCCUUAGCUUCAAAGAAAAUGAAUGGAAAGGGAUGUGUGUUUUUUAACCCUAAAUGGUUUAAUUCCGGUUUUAGUCCCCCUCCUAUGCUAAAAUUUAAAAUUUAAUCUAUAUAUUUUAAUUUUAUAUAAUUUCAUCCUUGAUUUUAAGAAAUAAUAUUUGAUACACCGCUAAUACAUUAUCAUCGAACAAUGACAUGAUACUUCAGGAAAAACAAAAUUAGUGAAAGACUUAUCAAUAAAUAUUAACAAUUUUAUUUAGUGUUUUGAUUUUUAAAUUUCACAUUUCGAAUUUUAGAUAUAUUUAAAUAAAAUUAUUAAUAUUUAUUUAUAAGUCAUUCAUCAUUUUUUAUUUCAUUAGCAUUGAAAUGUCGUGGUUGACGAAACUUAUACAUCAACGAUAUAUCAAAUAUUUAUUUUUAUUUUUAUUAAUUUCUAUCAUUAAAACGAUGAUGUGAAAUCUUUUAUUGAAAAUUUUGUUAUGGUCAAGGUAGCCAUAAUAUAUGUUUUUUUAAUACAAAUUCUCGAUAACAAUUAGUAAUAUUAAGAAUAUAAAAAAAGUAAAUCAUGUUAAAUUAAUCGGUUUAAGGGUAUAAAAGGUUCUCAAAUUUAAAAAAAAACAAUUAAGUCUCUGUUUUUUCACUCGAGUAUUUUAACUUUCAAAAAUGCAUAAAAAGACUCUCAAACUUUUUCAAAAAAAGCAAUUAAGCCCAUACUUUUUUUUACGCUCAAUUGGGCACUUGAACUUUCAAAAUACAUAAAAAAAAAAUGCCUUCAAACUUUUUCAAAGAAGCAAUUAAGCCCAUGCUCUCUCUUUUUUUUUUUUUUGCACUCAAUUGGUUGGGUAAUUGAAUUGUCAAAAUGCAUAAAAAAAUAACCUUUGAUCGUUAACUUUAAUAUUUGACCGUUAAAAUUAACUGUCUCUAAUUUUUUUCCGUUAAAGUCAUCCUUUGUCACAACCACGACAUGACAUGUGGAAAAACAAUUAUAAAAAAUAAAAGUUAUAAAAAAAUAUUAAAUUUUAAUAAAAAUAUAAAGUUUAUUAAAAAUUGUAAAAUUUUAUAAAAAUAAUAAAUAAUUAUAAAAUGUAUCAAAAAGGCCAUUUAACCAUCAAUUUUAACCGUUGACUGUUAAAGUUAACAAUCCCUAUUUUUUUUCUAAUUAAAGUCAUCACGUAUCACAACAUAGUGUAACAUGUGGUAAAAAAUGAUAAAAAAAUAAAGAUCAAUUAAAGUUAUAGAAAAAUUAUAAAAUGCUUCUUUAAAUAUUAUAAAAUGCUUCUUUUGAUACGAUAAUUUUUAUAUUUUUUAAUGAAUUUUUAUUUCUUUACAUUUUUUAUAAUUUUCUUACAAUUUUAUAAAAUUUUACCAUUUUUAUAAUUGUUUUUUAUUUUUAUAAUUUGUUAAUAAUUUUUAAUAUUUUUAUAUUUUUAUUAAAAAUUAAUAAUGUUUAUAACUUUUAUUGAUUUUUGUUUUUUAUCAUUGUUUUGCCACAUGUCACGCCAUGUUGUGCCACGGGAUGACUUUAACUGAAAAAAUUAGGGUCAGUUAACUUUAACGGUUUGACUAUUAAAGGUAACGAUCAAAUGGUAUUUUUUUUAUGCAUUUUAACAAUUCAAGUACCCAAUUGAGUAUAAAAAAAAGGUUUAAUUGCUUUUUUCUGAAAAGUUUGAGGGCUUUUUUGAUGUAUUUUGAAAGUUUAAAUACUCAAUUGAAUGCAAAAAAAAGCAGGGGUUUAAUUGCUUUUUUUUUAAGUUUGAGAGUUUUUUUGAUGCAUUUUGACAAUUCAAAUACCUAAUUGAGUGCAAAAAAAAAAGAGAGCAGGGGUUAAUUAAUUUUCUUGAAAAAGCUCGAAGACUUUUUACACCCUUAAGCCAUUAAUCAACCGACUGAGUGAUUGAAAUUUGAUGAUUUGGGAAAAUAUCCGGUGAACAUCAAUUAGAGAAAUUAAAUCUGAAUUUCAAUAUAUUAGAGGGACUAAACCCAGAAAUUUACCGUGAAAAAAAAAAGGUAUAUUUUUAUGUGUUAGUUGAAAGAGUAGCAUUUAGAUGUAACCACGCGUUAAACAAAGUGUUCCAUUACAUCAACGAUAGAAUUUCUUUUCCUUCAACAAGAUUUUUUUGCGUUGACUGUUGACCAUGGAAAAACGAUAAAUCAAAUUAUUUAUUGAAAGUGAUAUAUAUUCCUUCCAAGAGAAUUCCUUUCUUACUAUCGAGAGUUUGAUUUUCACCGUGGGUAUCGAGAGUUUUAUCUCUUAAUUAACCUACAGAAUGGAAUAAAUUUAAUUAUUGGGUUUACUCUGAUAGAUACCUUGAGAAAUAAAAUAAAAAAUCGAUAUUAAAUGAAAUAGACAUAAUAAAUUUCUAAGCUUUGGUGAAUAUAAAUAGAAAACUAAAUGAAUUUUGGUUUAGGUAAAUUUUGGAUUCAGAUUAAAUUUAAAUUUUGGUUAAUUCUUAUUCAAGUCAAUUAAGUUUAAUUGUAAUUUCAGGUUAUAAUCACUUUGAGUUUAAGACAUUUUAAGUUAUUUAUUGGGGUCAUGUCUAGUUAUUUAUUUGAAUUGUUUCAAGUUUGGAUUAAUUUGAGUCAAUUUCAUAUUUAGGUUAGAUAAGUCAAUUUUCAAGAUAUGAACUAGAGUUGUCUAUGAGCCAGGUCAUCUGGUCUGGCCUGAAGGCCCAUCCGAAAAAUGGAAGGAUUUUAACAAAAAAAUAUAUGUCAAAAAAUGAGCUUGGACAAAAAAUAAGGCUCGUUUAGAAAAUGGGUCGGACCUCGAGUAACGUUUUUUUUUACCCUGGCUUUACCCAGAUUUGCAAUUAAAAAAUUUGUUUUUUUGCUAAAAUUUCACUAUUAUGUUGUUUCAAUUUGUUGGGAAACAUUCAUUUUAAUAUUUUUAGCGUAUUAUAUUUUUAAAAUUUUUUAUAUAAAAAAUUAAUACGGCCAGGCCAUGCCCGGGUUUUAGCAUUUUUAUCUAGGUCGGGCCUGAGCAAAAUUUUAAGUUCAUUUUUUGGGCCAAUUUGAGCCCAAAAAUUUAUCAGAACCCGACCUAACUCGAUCCAUGGACAACUUUAUAAAUAACUAUUUAUAUAUAUAAAUAUAAAUAUAUAAAUUGUCCAUGAGCUAUUUACUAUUUAGAGUAUUUAAAUAUGUCGAUUGAGAUUUAAGUUCUUUUUAUUCUGAGAGGUAGAAUAGCAUAAUUCAGCUAACGUAUAAUGAUCAUAUACCUCUAAUGCAUUAUAUGUCUCAUUCUUCUAUCAUUUUAGGGAGUUGAUGAUUAUUCAUAGCUAUUAUAUUGAUAUCAAAAAAGAGUUCGACCCAAUAACCAAAUACUUUUGCCAGAUUGAUUUUGGAUUAGAUUAAUAUGUUUUUGGUCAAUUUGAAUUUUAAAAAAUUUCAAAUUAUUUCAAUUUCGAUUAGUUUUAACUUUGGAUCAAUUCGUAUUCAAUUCUAUUUUAGGCUCAGAAUUAAAUGAAUCGAGGUAUUAAAUUUAAUGAUUUGUACAUACAUUUUGUGUAAAUCAUUUAAAUGUAUAGUUUAUUAUUAACAAAGUAAAAUUUUAUUUAAAAUAUUUUAAAUACCACUCUAACACAAUUACAUAAUUCAUAGAUUAUAGAUUACACUAGCAUUGAUAGUUGCAGCUUCUAAUUCCAAAAUAUUUUAUUCAAAUUUCAUAAAAAAACCCCUUCCCCUGUCUCCAUGACUAAUUUUGUUUGAUCAUCACAUAUUUGCAUGGGAAUAGUGUUCAUCAUGAACCGAAGACUCCGGUUUAUCAACACCGUCGACGCUUCGAACCCAGUAACUUGAACUGAAAGAAGCCGCCCGGUCCGGAACGUCAUCCAUCACCCAUUCAUGGCCUUUGGGGAAAUAUAUCCCACUCUUUGGAUGUGGAACCCAACUCGAUGAACCUUUUAUAUCGUUGUUACUCUUGCACUUCUUAUUGAUCUCUCGAUCUGCGCCUGCAAUUUUGCUCAAUGGUCGCUCAACGCGUUUUGCUUCCCUACACCCGAAUAAAGUUUCCAAAAGUCAAAUAUGUUUAUUAAGUUCAUAAUGAUUUGCUUCUAAAAUUUGUAUUCUUGUAUGGUUUUUUUGGUAAAAAAUUUAAUUUUUGGCUUUUCUAAAUACAAAACAAAUUUCAAAUUUCAUUUUUAACUAAACAAAAACAUCUCAAAACUAUGACUCAAACUUUAAAACGAUCUCAAAUGUUCUAAUUGAAUCCUUAAACAUAGAGCAUACUUAAAACACGUCUUAAAUAUGCUCUGCAUCAAACAUAAACUAACAUUUAACACCCAGAUAGACAUGACAAAAAAAACUUAGUUGGUACGAUACUAAUAUUUUUAGGACCCAAUUAAACCGUUUUAAAAUUUAAGGACUAAUUUUUAAAAAAAUCAUUCUAUAGAUUAAGAAAGUCUGUUGUAAUCAACCCAAAGAAUAACGACAACAUUACGUACCUUAGCAUCAAAAUCUUGGUUUUGGUAAAAGCAGCUCUUCCCAUGCAAUGCAGCUCUUUGAAACCCCUCAAAUUGUAUAAUGCAGCUCUUCAAAGGACUCCAAUGCAAUUAUCUAGGAUUUGAUCGUUUGAUUUAUAUAAUGCUUUCGAAAGUGCAGUUUUUGUACUUUAAAUUGUAUCCGAACGAAUGAAUAAAGGUUUGAGGAAUAAGUUCGAUUGCGAAGGUCUUCUCAAAUUUAAAAAUUUAGAAUAUGCUAUUUCGUAAUUUCCUCUUUUUAUUUUUAUUUUAAAAAAUUUAAUCAUUUUAUAUUUUUCGGAUUUAAGUAUACAGGUCCAAUUAUUAUUAAAAGUGAUUUGAUUAAAAAAUUAAAAAAUAUUUCGAAUUUCGAGUUAAUCGAAUUGAGUUGUUCGAUUUUUUUGAAUCGACCCGAAUAAGUAAUUCGAUUUCGAGUCGAGUUAAAUUUUACAAUUCGAAUAACAGAUUAAUGUAAAUACUCAUUUGGUCCCUGUCAAUUUAAAAAAUGGACAAAUUUGUCUCUCUCAACAAAGUUUACAAAAAAAAAUUCAAAAUAAUUUUCAAAAAGUUUUAAAUAAUUUUUAAAAUUCAAAAUUUAUAUUUAAAAAAUUAUAAAAAUUCUAAAGAAUAUAUAAAAAAAACUUAUUCUUUUUAAAUAAUAAUUUUUGGGAAAAUUAACUAUUUAAGUUUAUCAUACUAAAAUAUCUUCUUUUUUUCUUAUUUUGCUUUGAAAAAGUUUUCAAAUUUAUGUGCUCUAACAUUGAAUUAGUUAUAUUGUAACAAUAUUUUAAUUUGACAUAUUUAAUUUUUUAAUUUCACUCGAUUCAAAAAAAUUUCUAAUUGAGUUAGUAUGACAAAAUGAGACUCGUCAACUCGAUUCACUCGAAACUUUUUCACUUCAUUCGAUCGAAUGCUCACUCCCAACUAACAUCAUAAAAAUUCGUUUGUUAAAUUUAGGUUCGUUACAAUAUUAAUUUUUUAUUAUAUGACUAUCAAACUGGAAAAUAAAGAGAUAAAUAU